Molecule: long non-coding RNA, 70844 nt
Filed under: Brassica rapa (field mustard)
Lineage: Eukaryota; Viridiplantae; Streptophyta; Magnoliopsida; Brassicales; Brassicaceae
Description: long non-coding RNA (BRAP_LNC005885)
Rfam family: Plant small nucleolar RNA R71 (bases 47439-47545)
Source: RNAcentral
CAUUAUUCAAGUUCUCUAAUUUCUAGUUGCACUGGAGGAUUCUCAAAUCCUCUUAAAAACUUGUGUAAACAAAUAGAACGAUUUGUGUUCAACAAAAAAUAAAAUAAAAAGAACGACAACAACCAUUGCGCAGCGCAAGAUUCACUUAGUAAAGAGAAGAGAGUAAAGCUAUGAAUCUAAACCAAGUGGCUCCCACUGAGGAACUCUCUUGGUAAAGAACCUCCAAUAACUCUGGAAUCAAGAAUCUGAAGAGCUCCUCCAGAUUUAACACAUCUUGGUGUCUUGUACUGAUUCACUGAAGAUCCUUGUGAGAUGCUAAAGUCCAUUAAGGCAUCAAAAGUACCCAAACUCACCACUCUUAUCUCCAAAGCCCCUAUUGAUCUAUCUUUGUUCCUGCACCUCCUGUACACGUAAUCCAGACAAUCCUCCACCUCAGAGCAACAGUCCUCCAUCAUCUUCUUGUCUAGCUUUGGUGGGUCAUUGUCGUAACGUGGCUUCAGCUCCCAGAAGAGCACGUAAUGCCCUGGGAUUGAUGACGUGUCCGCAUAGCUCGUGUACUCGGUGAGCAAGAAGAGACCUUGGAGAUGGUUGAGUUUGGCUUGUGUCACUGCCUUCAUGAGAUCUUCUUAGCUGGUUUUGUCUGUGUCGAUGCUUAACACAACGUUUCUUCGCUCCACGAAACUGAAUUGGGGUGCCUUGUUGUGGAAACCUGUCACCUUUAGGAUAUCUCCAACUCUGUAUCUGUAUAAACCUGUUUAGGAAAGAUCCCAAGGCUACUUGUGUCACACGUUACUCUCAUUACGUGAAAUAAUUAGGGGUGGACAUUUAGACACCCAAAUAAACUGAACGUGAAAACUUAAAUCAUUUUCAAAAUUAGUUUUAUUUCAAAAAAUAUAACAAAUAUUCUUAGUACAACGUUUAGGUGAAUCCUUGCUAAACCUUCUCUUAUAUCAAACUGUAAUUAAUAUUUUUCCAAACACAUUAAGGUGUGUUGAAAAUAAAACAUUGCUCCAUAUUAUAGAUUUAUAUAUUUAUUUAAAAUAUAUAAAAAAUACAUUUAAUUUUACCAACCAGAUGUAAUAUUAAUCAAAAUAACAUUAAUGUGUUUAUUUAUGUUUCUACUAUGUUUUUAAAAAUGAAUUUAAUACGAACUGAGCCAAAUGCAAAUUGUUGGUUUGGUGUACGUUUUUCAAACCCUAACUAAACCGGAACGAACCAAAAAUGUCAAGAGAUAACUGACCUGCGAAUGUUGUGAUGAUGAGUUCAUAGUACCGUCCAAUUUCCACACUGACAAGAUCGACAAUACGGUCUUUGUCCGUAAGGGAAACAUCAUCCGUAGAACGCGAUUCAAGUUGAGUCUCUUCAUGAGACUUAUCAUCAACAGGCAAGAACUCAAAGUAAGCCAUGUUAGGAAGAAGUGUGUAAGAAACAUCGGAUGGCUUACACAGAGGAUUGAUGUUGAGACCAAAGAAACACUCAGAGGAAGCAUACAUAACCGAAACCAAAGGCAAACCUCCGCUAUAAAACUCGAGUGUCGGAAUAUACUGAGCCAUCGAUCCGGUCACAAUCACCUCAAUAUACUUCGUCUUAGGCCAAAUCCUUUUCAAGAUUCCUUCCCGCGACUUCGCAUUGAACAAAGCCUCGAUCUCAUCAGCCAGUUCUUGGUUAGGACCGUUAAGGAUUGACAAAACCGAGUCUCUACAGCCCGAGUCAGUGAUCCAGCUAGCGACAGUACCGGUUCUAAUGUCAGCACACAGUUCGGUGAAAUGAUUCUCCAAGAACUUGACCGCUCGAAGAAAGGCGGAAGCGAAGAUAGCACCGAGUCUUAGGACAUCAGAUCGCUGGACUAAACCGCAAAGAAGCUGACAGUACAUGCUUUGCUGGCUGUCUUCACAAAGAAUGGCAUCGUUAGGGCUAGUGAUGACAUUGUACUUGUUGAAAGGCCUGUUCUUGAAUUGUUCACUUUUGUAGUAACUGGUUAACACAGGACGUGCCUGUAGACCAGAAGGAGUCUUGAUCUCUGGUUUUAUGAACAAAAGGUACAUUCCUUUUCCUUCAUCAAGCCCAUUCACAAACCUACAAAUGAACCCACAUUUAAUCCAUUAGAACUACAAUGUUUAUGAUUUUUGUAAGGAGAUUUGGUUUAAAUUGAGAAAGUAGUAAUAUUACUUAUUCAUGACGGGCACAAGCAUAUUGUAGAAAAAUGUCUUUCUAUCCAACUCUUCAGCUGUAGAAGGCAUAAAUUUUGGUUUUCCACCCGAAGUCCCCGAGCUGCAUCAUAUAUUUUAUCCAAUAACCAAGAACUUUAGAGAUUUCCCUAAUUUUAUAUAAAACAGAAAGUUUAUAAACUAAUACUCAAUAAAUUAAUAAACACCAUAAUUCGAUAAACAAUAAUAUAAUGAUAUUUAAUUAGAAAACUCUUAACUAAAUAUAUGGUCCCAUUAAAAUCAUAAACUAAUAAUUACCACAUAUAUAAAUUUUAUUAUAACAUAAACAAAGGAUUUUAUUUCUAAUUUGUAUUCAAAUGAAUUUCAUCUCUAAUUUUUAUUCAAUAUUUUGGUGUUAUUUUAUCUAAUUACAUAUUAACGAAUUUAGAGUCUAUCAUACAUUUUUAACAUACAUAAAAUGCAUCAAAUAUUCUAAUUAAAUUAUAAUUAAAAUAAAAUAUAUAAAGUUUAAAUAAUAUAUAUAUAUAUAUAUAAUAUAUUGUGAAAAAAAUUAUUUUUGUAUAUGAAAUAAUAAAAUAUCAUAGUCCUAAAAUUAUUAAUUUAUACAGUUUUUACUGUACAUGCUAAAUAGUUAUCUAAACUCUUUAAUGUGUGAUAAUUUUUAGUGUACCAUCCAUGAAAAUUUAUCGUAAUAGAAUAAUAUGUUAAGACAUUAAUAUUUUUUACCAGCAUGAAAUAUAUCAAGAGUAUAUUUGUAAGAAAAUGAUUGAUUAAUUAUUUAAAAAUUAAACCAAACAAGAAUAUUGCAUAUCUUUUUCAUAUACUUUUAAUUUAAUUAUAAAUAUUUUUUUUUCUACAUAAUCUUAUAAACAUCAUUUGACUCUGUAUUCUUAUAAAUACUAAAAUCAGUUCAUAAAGAAAUUAAAAUAAAAUUAUAGACCAAAAUUCUUUAUUUUUAUUUUAAAUAAAUAAAUAUUUAUAUGAGAUAUUGCCAUAAAUAAAUAAAUAUUUUAAAUAAUUUUUUUUUUGAAAAGAAAUAAAUAAAACAUAAUUUUAUUUAUUUAUUUAAACAUAAAAAAUAUUUUUUAUUUUUUAUUUAUUUAAAUAAUGAAUUAUUAUAAUAUAGAUAACAAAUGUAUAAGAAUCUUUUGUCAAUUAAUGAAGAAGAUAUUUUUAAAAUGUUUUUUUAUUGGUGGUAAAGAUGAAAAGUGAUAUCAUGAAAGUUGUAAACUUAAAAUUUCUCCUAUUUAUAUUCUUCGUAUAAUAUUAGGCCAAAUGAUAGUAUUCACCAUACAAAAAUUUAUAAAACGGGUUAAGUUUUUAAAUUAAGUACUAUUUUAUAUACAAUUUUCAUGAAUACCAUAAAUAAAAAUACAAUUUAUUUAUAAUAAUAUCUUUUAUGAAAAAUAAAAUAAAACUAAUCUCACAUUUUAGACGCGCGGAUCCCAAACUAUUAUCUAGUUAUAUAGGAAUGUAAUGUAAAACCACAUAACAAUAUCUAACCGUUCUUUGUGUUACAUUGUUAAUUAAAAUCAUGUAGAAAUAUAUAUGUAUAGACUUUUAGUUUAUUUUCAUUUGGUAUUUAUUUGCUAACAUGAUUUUUAAAUAUUGAAAAGCUUAAAUCUGUAAUAAAAAAGUACUCAAACAAAAAACUGACUUGUUAAAAUUAUUGUGAAAAACAUAUAUAUGGUGGUAAGAUGAAAAAAAAGAUUUGUAAAUAAUAAGUUUUUAUUUGUUCUAAGGUUUCAAGGAUAACAUAAUACUAGAUUUUGACCCGCACGCCCGUGCGGGUGUAUUUUAAAAAAAAAUGUUAUUUGCUUUUUAUGUCACUAUUUAGGGUUGGGCAAAAAACUCGAACUCGAAGAAUCGAACCGAUCCCAAUCCGAAUAAGUAGUACUAAAUCCGAACCGGAAUUGAUUAAAUAUCUCAAUUAUUCAAAAUUUUGGUAUUUGAAGAACUGAAACCUAAUCCGAUCCGAACCGAAGUAUUUUGGGUAUCCAAAAUAGAUUUAUAUACUUAUAUAUAUUAUUUAUUUUUAGAUUUAAUAUAUAUAAAAACAUCCAAAAUAUAUAUGAUAUUUUUAAGUUCGCAUAAAAGCUUGAAAAUAUAUACAAAUAAUCAAACGUAAAUAUCUUAAAUAGUUAAAAAAUACUCAAAACUCCAAAAAUACGUAAAUAAUUAUUAAUUCUCUAUCCAAAUAUUUAAACCAAACCUAUUUAAAUUGGUUAUCCAAUUCCGAACCAAAUCCUCAAAGAUCUGAACUGGACACGAAAUCCCAAAAAGGCCCGAAAACGAAUCCGAACGCCCACCCCUAAUCACUAUUGUAUAUAUAUAUAUAUCCUAUAUGUGUCAUCAUAGGUUACAAAAUAUGUGUUAUCAUAUAAUUAAUCGUAUUUUAUAUGUACCAUCAAAUAAGUUUUCUUAUAAUUAAUAAUAUUGUAUACGUACAAUCAUAUAAAUAACCACAUAUAUUAUAUUUUAAAAUUUAAUGUGAAAUAUAAAAACCAUAAUUUAAGUUGGUGUUUGAAAUUGGACUUUGUAUUGUAUUUUUAUUAUAUAUGUUGAAAACAUUUUUAUAAUAGUUAUUGGAAAAUAUGUUAGUAAAAAUCAAAUUUUGAAUAUAUGUUUACUUUUGAAUGAAUUUUUGAUAUAAAUCAAUUUUAAAUUAUUAUUUUGAUUUGAAUAUAUAUAUCAAGUAACAUAGACCCAUUAUUUUUUAAUAUAAUGUAAUGGACUUUUAAAUUUUUAGUAGCAUAAGCCCAUUAUUUUUUUUUCCUAACCUACUGCUAUCCAUGUUUCCAAACAGUACUAAUUUUUUAACUACUAUCCAUAUUACCAAACAAUCUUAAUGUGUACUUCAACUUUAAUAAUAUAGACUAGCUUUUGACCCGCGCGUCCGCGCGGAUGUAUGUUCGAUGUAAUUAUAUGUUUUGUUUAUUGUAAAAAUAUUCAUGUUAUUAUUUCAUAUGUUAUUAGUUGUGACAUUGGUGUAUCUUGUUUAUAUUGUUUAGUGUACAUUUUUAAGCUUUGAGGUUGUAUUGUUCUUAUAUUGUAAUUUUUUUUUUACUUGGUAAACUAAACAUAAAGUGUAUAAUAUUAGAACAUUUAUUUGAGAUUUAAUAGUUUUAUUAAAUAAGAAAAUCUAAAAUUUGUGAUUUAUAGCUUGUUUUAAAUUUUUUCUUAUAUAGCUUUACAAACAAUAAAAUCGCUAGCAAAUAUACAAACAAUUGGAAAAGUAACCCAAAAACAUAUAAAAAUAUGUAUAUCUCUAUUAAAUAUUUACAAAGCCUAAUUAGAUUAAUUGAUUUGCGCCAUUUUGUUAUGUUUUUAAAAUAUUUAUCAUUUGUAACCGAAUAAAUAGUGGACCUGAAUCACAAAUCAAAAUCUAUGUAAUUUUUUUUUUUUUGGGAAAUAAACAGAAACACGUCUGCCCUGCUACCAGCUGCAUUGAUUUGAACAUUUUUAAUUACUCCCCAUUUUUCAACUGGUAUAGCAUGCUGAACAUGGUACAUGUGUGUUCUUUUGCAACAGGCUUGGAUUUUGUUUCCCUACAAAACAAAACAGAGGAAAUAUUAGUUUAGCUUGUUAAAGCAGUCACCUGUUAUAACACAACAAAUGUUUAGAAAUAUUGGUUUACCCAUUAGUCUGUUAAUACCAUCUCAAAGGUAUCUCUAGAAGCGGUGUUCAUCUUGUAAGCACUUAACUUAAACUCGCUGAUUAUUUUUAUAAGGCCUGAGUUUUGUGAGAGCAUGAAAAGUAGUCAUAGUAGAUAUUUUCGGAGGAUUUGCGUUGAAUGAUAUGGUGUUUAGAUUAUUAGGAAAGAGGUAUAUAUAGCUAGUUAGGAAAGGUUAGAGUAAGUCAAUAUUAAUAUCUAAGAUUUUGUCAGUUGUGAAUUUUUAGUAUUAUAUAGCGAAUAUCCUAUACGAUUUUAUUCCAAGUUUGAUUCUUUGCUUAAAGUAAUAAACGAAUAUAAGUUGAGAAAAUUAAGAUAUUUUACGUGAACGGCAAGAUUAAGCACACAAAAAGAUUUUGUGGUAGUUGAUUGAUAUGAUAUUUGUUAUGAAUGCUUAAAUAUAUGAAUAGAUUAGUGGUGGGCUUUCGGGUACCCAUUCAGGUUUGGUUCGGGUCUAUUCGGGUUUCAGAUUUUCGGGGUCAAAGAUUUCAGCUCCAUUCGGGUAUUUCUAAGUUUUGGUUCGGGUUCGGUUUGGAUCUUUGGGGGUUUGGUUCGGAUUAAGAUAACCCAUUAAAAUUAUUUUUAAAAUUUUAAAAUUCAUUUUAUAAUUUAAAUUUCUCAAAAUAUACAAACAAAAUAAUAUAUCACAUAUAAAUUUGAAUAACAUAUAUCAAAAUACCUAAACUUAACAUAUAAUUUGAUUUGGUUUGAAUAUUUGGAUAAAUAAUCAAUAGAUAUUUCAAGUAUUUUUGGUGUUUUGGGUAUAUUUUAGCUAUUUUAUUCAUUUACCUUUGACUAUUUGUAUAUAUUUUCAAGUAUUUGAUCAAUUUAAAAAUAUCUUAUAUAUUUUGGAUGUUUUUAAUAGAAAUUAAAUCUAAAAUAUAUUUAUAUACGGGGUAUACAAAUCUAUUUUGGAUACAUUCGGGUACCCGAAAUACUUCGGUUUUGGUUCUUUAGAUACCAAAAUUUUGAAUCCGUUCAGAUAUUUAAUCAAUUUCGGUUAUGAUUCGAUUCGGUUCUUCGGAUUCAGAUUUUUUUUCCCACCUCUAGAAUAGAUAGUAGAGUAAAAAUUGUUUUCAUAAACAUUUUUUAGUUGUUCUGUGAGUAAGAAUUUGAUUCCACGCUAUAGGAAUGUUGUAUAUAUAUUGUUUGGUCGAGUCUAUAGGUUAAAAAAAUCUUGACUAAAUAUUAGUCAAACAUGAUUUACACAUUUUAAAAAGAAUAUAUACAUAUCUUAAAAUAUUUAAUAACAAUUCUUUUUAUUUUAAUAGUUAAUCAGUUAGGGUUGGUUAAGAUAAGAGAUUUAGAUCUUGUACUAUAAAAUAUCAUACAAUUAAGAUGUUUUUUAAAAAAGAAUUAUUAUAUUUAGUCAUACGUGAUUUCACGUUUUGGAAAUAGAAUAUACAAAUUUUGAAGUAACACUAAUAAAUGUAUUUUUACAUUUCCAUAUUUUAUUAGUUAAUAUUACCUUUUGAAUAGAAGGCAUUUGAAGUUUGAAAGGAAUAUAUAUGCCGAUUUUAUUUGUAAGAUUGAUAUAGAUUUGGUUAUUGUGAUAGCUUAAAAAUAGGAGUCCUCUUUGGAAUUUUUUUUUAUAUUAAGGUUCUACAAAAUUAAUGAUAUAGAUUGUGUGUGCAUCGAAAAAUCUGCUGAAUAUAACAUUCCAAAUUUAGUAUUUCAUAAAUGGUUCGGCUAAAUAAUAUUAAAAACGUGGUUACACAAACCAUAUGUAAGUAUGCAGUUUGGUAUGAAAAUCUUUUACAGACCACCAAAUACUGAUUAUAUACAUAUAAUAUUAAUUUUCUUGAUCAGAGUAUAUAAUUGAAGUACACGUUUGGUUAAGUAUUAGAUGAAAUAUAGUAGACUUAAUAUAUUAUAAUUUUAUGUUAUAGAUUUGACAAACAUGGUUCUUUAUAUUAGCAGUUUACGACUCUACAGCAUUGGAUAGAUUGAAUUUAUGACGGCAUUCAAAUUUCUAACCGAGUUAAGGUUGGUUAAGGAAACACGUGAUAUUUGGUUAAUUCAAUUAAUUGAAUUAAUGUUGAUUUGUAAUGUUGUUAAAUGAGUCAGUGGCAUGCAAUGGUAAUUAUUGUGGAAAAUUAAGGGUUAAGUACAUUUUGUACUUCAGUUUUAAUAGUUUAGAUGGUGGUGACAUAAGGAUAACAUCAUGUGUGUCAUUAAUAUCUUCUUUGUAUUUAUAUAGAUAACAUAUUCAGAAAGUCAUUUAAUUACCUUGUGAGAAGCUCAGUGAUGGGUUGAGCAGAGAGGAUAUCGGAUGAGUCUCCAUCAGAGAUUCGUUGGAUGAAGGGCUUUAUGUCUUCAUAAUUUACCACAGGGGCUUUGUUCUUGAAAUUUUCUUGAAUAUUGCAAGAUUCUCCAUCAAGAAACGACCUGAGAUAUUCGGUUUCUGAGUUUUGAGAGAGUAUUUGGUGGAGAACUUGUUGUUGAAUUGCAUCAGCAUUUGUGGUUAGAUCCUCAAGAAGCUGGAGACCAGCCUCUGUAUCGUUUGGAUCAUAACUUGGUAUCAUUUUGUUGUUGCAACUAUAAGUUUAAGAAAAAAGACUUUUUUUUUUAGUUGAGAGAUACUCUUCAAAGGUGGGGGUGUCCGAGCAGAGGGAGGCAAGAUAUGGCUUAUAUAGUAAAGUAGUGGAAAGAUUUUGGGAAAUGAUGAAUAUAAGAAUAUUUAAAUAAUUUCGAUUUUAGCUGUUAUAACAAGUAAAUUCGAAUUUGUUAUCCAAGAAAACAUGGAAGUAAGAAAAAAAUCUUUUAAAAUAAGGAAACAUAUACAUUAUUUGUUGAAAAAAACAAGGAAAUUAUCUUUUACAAUUACGAAAACAUGGAAGUAAGAAAAAAAAUCUUUUAAAAUAAGGAAACAUAUACAUUAUUUGUUGAAGGAAAAAAUAAGGAAUUUUUUCCAAUUUUUAGCAUUAUAUUUUUCAGUUUCUGAUCAGUUUUAAAUACACGUAAAUAUAUUUGUUUAUUCAGUUUUUCUUGAAACUUAUAUCUGAAACAAAUAUAUAUAUAUAUAUAUAUAUAUAUAUAUAUAUAUAUAUAUAUAUUAAAAAAAUUAUAUUGACAUAUUAGUGUACUAAUCAGAUUUUAAAUGAAAAUAUAAUAUAAUAUGCUCAAUGACACUUGAAAACAUAUAUUACAAGAUCAGAAAAAGAAGAUGUGGAUUUCGAAAUAAUCUAUACUAUCAGUCAAAACUCUCAGAAUCAGAAGUCUUAUCGCAAUUAGGGUUACUGAUUUGGGGGUUUUUGAGUCGGGGAUUUCUGGGAGUUAUGUCGCAUGAGGGGAUUUUAAAAUCGGGUACAAAAAAUCACGUCGUUUUUGCACCCUUCGUGUUAUUUUUAAACAUCUACGUGCUUAAAUGAAACAUCACAUUCAAUUUAAUGGGUCUCUGUUCAGAAUAGACGGCACCAUUGAUGGAGGAUUACAUACAAUAACAUUUCAAUAGUUUAGGGUUCAAAACAUAAAGUUUUAGUUGAAAGUUUUCCAUCCAAUCUAAAAAUAGUUAGGGGUUUAACUCGCUAAAAUCCAAGGGAUUUUAAGCAUCUCGUGUUGUUUCUGUAACUAAAUGAAACGCGGCAUUUCAGUUUAACGGAUCUCCGUUCAUAUAAAACGAUUUUGUUGACCGAAUGUUAACGACAUUAACGGGUUAAUAGUUGGAGGUUUAAAAACAUGAAGUUUAGUUGGAGUUUUCCAUCUGAUCUAAAAAUAGCUGGGGGUUUAAAUCACUAAAACCCUAUUUAUAUUAUAUUUGGUUUAGUAAUAUUUAAUCAGCUCUAUUUUAUUUAAUAUAUAUAUAUCACAUAAGAAAAAAUGAAUCAUCUAUCUUUUAAAAUACGUUUCUUUAGAUAGUCAAAAUCACUCAUUGUGAUAAUUUCUGAAAAGAGUUGCCAAAAAAUUUAAAAAUAUUAUAAUAUUAUGCCAAUGAUUUUUUUGCUCUUACGUUAAAAUUAGUGCCUUUGAAGUCUUUAUUAACUUUAAUAAAUAAUUAAAUUAGAUUUGUUAAUAUAUAUAAUUACCCAUAAUUUUUUAAAAAAUUCAUUAAUUUCAUAAUCAUCAUUAUCUAAAAGAAUUCUAUACAAUGUUAUCCAAAAAUAUUAACAUCAUAAUCCCACUAUAUAAAAGGGGCUAAAUCCCUGGUUCUUAAGCCUUGCCACAUGGGCAAAAAAAUUAUGAGCCAAUCAAUAUGCCAUGUCACUAAUGUUUUGGGCCCCAUUUCCGUACCGGUUUUGGUUUGGUCUAAUAUUUCGGAGUUUGGUAUGAUUCUCUGGUUUUGUACUUAAUUUGAUUAGGGAUUCAUCGUUAUUAUUCUUCCACAGUUCAACCUAGCGUCACCGUUUUUCUAAUCUGUAAACUAAAGUUCUUCCUCUCAUCUCUUCACCUCUCCUGUCAUUCAAUGUAUUCUUUAAAUUUGGGAUAAUUGUUAUUCAUACUAAACCCAGUAACAAUGUCGACCUCUCCGUUUCCUUCACGUUAAAUCUAUAAAUAGGAGAGGGUUGAGAGUAGAAUGGAUCUUCAUAACCUCUGUCAGUUUGUCUUCUUUAUCAAGCGUAGAUUCUCAAAAUGUCUUCCUCCGAUGCCGUUGUUGCGUAAUCCGCCGUACAGAUUGUUUCUGCCGGAGGAGUAAGGUGGCUGACGAGGUGGCGGUUGAUUUGCACCACCGUUACUGUAACUUUUGCUCGUCUGAGGGUAGCCUGACAUAGCUGGAAAUGAAAAGGUAAGACACUUUGCAAAAGAGAUGGAAGAAGAGAAUGAGUUGACCUUAAAGAUCUGUUUCUUUUAGUUUUUGAUAUACUUUUUUGUUUCUACAUAAAUCAGGAGAAAGAAGCCAAUAAAAAAGCUUUGAGGAAGUAUUUAGAGUUAGUGGAGUUCUUCACCAAAGGUAAUGUUUCUUUUUUUUUUAUAUUACACCAUCACUAAAACCAAUCGCAACAGUUUCUGUAUCAAAUAGUUUGAUCGGACAUAAUAAUUUGAUUUGUACUCCUUUGUAUGUUCUGGAACGCAAUGUGGGUUUCGAAUGUAGUUCUGGUUGCUUUGUAUGAGCAGAAUGACAAGCCUUCCUCUGCUUUAGAGUAAGUUCAUGGACACCUACUUUGUUUCUAACCGGUGAAUAUUAGUUUUUAAGAGAGUACCAUAACUUACUGACUUAUAAUCUUCUACACAGGUGAUAGCUUUUAUUAACUUUAUCCUAAUAUGAGUUAGGUCAAAGAGUAUAAUUUCAUAAUUUGUUUAUGCUCCCCUACUAUUGUAUCCUUCUUUGGUUUUGCUUUCAGAUUCAUCCAGCAAAAGCUAGGAAGUCCUUCAGUUUCUGAUUACAAGAAGCUUCAAUCUGAGAAGUCUGACCUUCAAAUAAAGGACAAUGAGGUUUUUGCUAAACAUCAAGGAACAUUGAGAGAGGUAUCCCGUCCUAACUUGAAUAUAAAAGUUUAUCAGUAAACCAUAUAUAAUUGAUUAGCACAUGAUUACAUGCUUAUGUAGUUUCUUAUCCAUUCUUUUUAGUUGUCUUCAGAAUUUCUAUAUGAUUGGUUGGAAUGGUAAUGGAGUAUAUAGAGUACUAAAGAUAGACCAGCUUGAUGCGUCUGAGCUUAACCUCAGUGAGGAUUUCACUGCCUAUACCAAAAAAGAAUGCAACGAGCUGCUUAAACGGAUACACAAAGAAAACAAGGCCACAGGCGGCCUCAAAUUUGUCACUCUCUGUUAUGGCAUCAUUGGUUUGUGUUCUUUUGUUUCAAGUUAUGGUCGCUGAAACAUACAUUGUUUUACUUUUACAGCGUGUUCUCACAAUUUGUUUUUUUUCUUCCCAUUUUUGUGGUCUCAGGAUUCAUUAAGUUUUUGGGACCAUACUACAUGCUGGUUAUCACUUAGAGAAGAGAGAUAGGCCAAAUUUGUGGUCACAGGGUGUAUGAAGUCUCCAAGAGUGAGAUCAUUUCUUUGCGAAAUUCUAGCGUGAUUUGCAACAUUUCAAAUUCAAGAGACGAGAACAGGUGUUUUUAUAUAUCUUUUACUAUUUUUUUCCCUUUUUUUGUCUGUCCCAAGCUUAUUGUCGAAGAAAGUUUCUGUUUUUCUUUUCUGUUUGGUGAAAAGAGAGUGAGUUACAUGUGUUCAUUUAUUAUACCCUUCCACCUUUUUAUGAACUCAAGUCAUUUAACCCUUGCGUUUCUUUAUCUGGUGUUGAUAAACAGGUACAAGAGGUUCCUGUGUAGCUCCUGUGUAUGGUGGACCUUACAAAAGACUUCUUUUUCAGCUAUUCUUUCAAUAUAAUGUGUAGUUUCCAGAAGAAUAUAUGUGUGUGAUGUGACCAUGAAAGUGGUGGUGCUCUCUAUAAGAAAAUAUUUGCUUGGAACGAGUUCUUGACUCGGGGAAUUCGAAAUCAUCUCCGGAAUACCAUGUGAACUGUAGAGCAUUGAUGUAUGGUUUCUUUAACCAGGUAAGAAUCGUAUGUUUUUCUACCCCCCACUGCCAAAGAAAAGAAAGUCUUCCCUGAAUCAAAUGCAUAUCCCUUUUCUUUUCUCACAGCAGUAGUUUUGUUAUUUGUAUACCAUUUUCUUCUGGGCUACAAUAUUGCUUCCCUAUAUCAUGUUUUGUCCACUGAAACCUGCAACCCGACCAUUUUCACAAAACAGUGCAGCUGUUUUACAGAUUUUGAGUGUUUUUAACUUGAGGUUUGAUGUUGUUUUGAUGGUAGGAUGAUACAUCCUGGAAAAGGACUUCCUUCAGAGAUACUAAGUGAUAUGUUUGAGACACGAAAUUGAUGGGUCACACCUGAUGGCUUAGGACUUAAGCUUUCACGGAAACUGCUGGAGCAGAUGAAUGGUAGUGUGAGUUUUGUUAGAGAAGACGAACGUUGUUUCUUUCAAGUGGAUCUUCAAGUUAAGACAAGGUUAGGUGUUGAGACCAGAGGAACAGAGGCUGAUUCAAGCAUACAAUAGAGAUUAUGGGUCCCAAAGGCAUAUAGAUAAUAAAAUUUGAUGAAUUGUGCUCCUUUUAUGGUCUGAAUGUGUUGUCAUUCAAAGUUUCCAUUAUUUAUUUAUCAAUAAAAUGUAUCUUAGUCAUUUAUAUAGUAGGAUGAUUAAGUAAACCAAAAAAAAGAAAAAACAAACCAUAACCCAAUUUACAGUACUUUGAGUCACUGACCAUCAUUAUCAAUUUAUCUAUCAUCAUCAUAUCUUCCUAAACUGAAUAUUUACGUUUGAACAAAAGGCAGUAAAGGGUUCGUUUGCAUGUCAGCUUCAAUGUGUGCUUUCACCGGUAAGAGGAUGAGCAACUUUGUGAAUGCUCCAUGACCAAACCCGCUUUCCUUCAUCAAAGAACAUGGAACAUGCCCAUUUUAAUUUUAUUUAAAACUAUGGAUUUAAGUUUUACAUAUUUUAACGUUAAGUCCAUUACAGCCAAACAAAAUAUUGAACAUAAACUUUGUUUUUCUUUUUCCAAACAGAGUAGAAUUUGAUUGAUCUUUAAAACACACAAAUUCAUGUGCCUUUUGCUGAAGUCGAUAGUACAAGAAAAGUGAAUUUGACAAUUCUUCACAAAAUGAAAAUUUAUUAUAAACAACUCCAACAAAACAAACAAAUCACUCCACAAUACUUCCUAUUACUUUAUCAAAGUAUUUCAAACACGUCUAAUUGUCAAUGACCCCGCGAAAGUAUUACAAACACGUCUAUUGUCAAUAAAAGCAGCUAAAUUGAAGUUUUUAAAGGUGUCAUAUAGGCAAAAAAAUUGAGAACCAACUAAUCUGCCAUGUCAUCCUGGACUGGUUUGAAAGACCAACUUUCGCAGCCCAUUAUUACUAAAUUUCGGAGCCUAUUUACACCAUUCUCAGCAUUUCAUUUUAACAGCCCAUUAUUAUUCAGAUACUAAAGACCCUAACCCAUUAUUACUCAUAUACUAAAGACCCUAAAACAUAAUCCCUAACCCAUUAAUACUAAAAGCCCUAAAACAUAUAAUUCUCUAAAAACUAAAGAUCACUCAUCCUCACUCUAGCCCUAAUCACCGACUCCAUCUCAUCGUGAUUCUCUUCCUCUUCAUCUCAUCUUCAACUUAAAUAUUAUCAUUUUUGAAUGAAAACAUUAUUAUUAUUGAAAUAUUAAUUAUUUAUCCAAAACUCUAAUAAACAAAAUAUACAAGUUGUUAAUGCACUCUAUUGUUUGCAAAGAAGCUUUUCCUAUUAUUUCCCUUUUUCAUUUAAUGCACAAAUACAAGUGUAGAUUUUUCUUUUUAUCUAGAAGAUGUUUUUUAAUUUAACAUACAAAUUAUGAACCGUUUGACUAUGUUUAUCAUAAAUUUGGUUAUAUAUAUUUUUAGUUUUAAUAUAUUCUUCAUUAUUUACAUCUUAUUAGUUUUAAACCAUACAAAAAACAUAUAUUAAUUGCAUAUUUUAAAACUUACUUUAUAUUUUAAAACGAUUAAAGUCACAAUGACCAAUUAUUUUCCAGCACCACCAAAAACUCGAAAAACCCUAUACAACCGAAAUUUUAUUUUCAUAUAUUAUUAAAUUUUAUUUGUUUAUAAUAUGUUUUAAAAAACAAACCAAAAAAAAUUGUGAUAAAGAAGGAAAGUUUUGAUAGAAUAACCAAAUUUUUUCAUUUAAUAGGUAAAAUGACCCUUAUACCCUAGAUAUAUAAAAUUUAAUUAAAAAAUAUUUAAAAACAUUAAACAAAUAAUAAUUAAGUAAUAGUCUUAGAUUAUACGUUUUCAAAAUACAAUUUAUUUAAAUAAUUUUUUUAGUUGAUUUUUAAAUUGCAAUUUUUCUCUAUUUUUGUUUUCAAUUUAUCUUUUUGUAAUUCUAGCCGAAGUUCACAACAAGUGGAGCGACAACCUCGGACCGCAACCAAUUAUCGCUAGGAUCAUUAGGAUGUGGCCCAUCACAAAUCACACAAAUAAAAAUGCUUUUCUAGGAACAACUUUCAUUUAUCUUGACAUCUAGGUUUGUCUUAAAAAUACUUACUUUUAAUUAUUCUAACAACAUUUCAAAUAAUUGCUUUUAACCACUCAACAGGACAAAAAAUGGAAUGGCGGGUGCCUAUUUCUGACACAAUGUACCAACGGUUCGAGGAAGGAAAAAUUUAUCACAUUAAAUAUUUUAAUCUUCUUCCCAAUAACCGAUGGUACAUGCUUACCGUUCAACCAUACUUAAUCAAUAUUAAUGAGACAACAACUAUAACACUGAUUCAAGAAAACAUUUCACCGAUUCCUUCAUACAUUUUCCGGCCCCAACGCUAUCCCCAGUUGAUCAGCUUAGCAAGUGCAACCAACUUCCUCCCAAAUCAAAAAAAAAACCAUACCUAUCACACAUACAAAUAAAUUCUCUAUUUUUGUCGCUAAAAACAAAUUAUUCCCCACAGAUGUUGUUGGCCGCAUAUGCCUCAUCCAAGGAAGUGAUUUAUAUAACCACAACACAUAUACAAAAAUCAUUAUUGGAUUGUGUUAAACAAUAAAUAUAUAAUACAAUAAUUUUUUGUAGAUCCAAAUUGGUCCGUCUAACUAUAUGGGACAAUGAGGCGGCUAAUUUUAGGGAGUUAAAUCGCAUAUCUACCAAGAAAAACCAAAUCAUAAUUAUCACAAGUAUCAUUCCAAGGUUACAUGAAGGUAAUCAACUAAACAUAAAGUUUAUGUCUAACUAAAUGCUUAUAAAUAUUUCACUUUUCAGGGAAACUAUCACUCACAACCAUACCAAGAUCGCGCUUUUACUUUGACAACGACAUAGAUAUCAUACAACGCUUUCAAAAGAGAAAUAAACUGUUAUCCUAAGCCUGAUGGCAUACCUCCAAAUGUGAUCAAACCACAAGACGGAAACCGACACCAGUCAACUGUUUUAAAAUUUACACUUCAAUGCAAACAACCAUAUAUUUUUCAAACUUACUAUUGUUUAGAAAAAAGAAACUGAUCACCGCAUCGCAUUCAAACAAAAACUCUAUGGUUAAUUCUACAACGAACAAAACUUAACUUCCAAUAUUUGAUACUUAAAACUACAAAAAUUUAAAAAUUUACUUUAAUAAAACAUAUUAUCCGCGCGAAGCGCGGACCCCGGCUCUAGUCUUUUUAAAAUAAAUAAAAAUCUAUGUAUAUAGUUUUAUGUAUAUAUGACUGUUUCAAAAAAUUUACGUAGUAAAAGAUAUUUUAUUAAAAUAAAAAAAAACUUUAUCAUAUUUAAAAAAUUAAUAUUAAAUUUAUUAUUAAAUAUUUCAAAAACAAAAGAAUAAUUUAUUUUAAUAGCUCUGAAUUGAUAAUAUAAUUUCUACAAUUUUUUGUGUGCUUAUUAAGUCCACAAAAAACUUAGUAUAUUAUAAUAACAUGAUUACAAAACUUAGUGUACAAUAUAUGGAAUUUAAAUUUCCAAACAUUUACGUAAAUUGUAACUGCCACUCAAUGCCGUCCCAAACAAUUAGGUGGCUUAAAGCAUUUGAAAAAAACGUUGCCCUCAUAGAAAUUUUUUUGUCUUUUUUAAAACAUCGUCUCAAAGAUAAAAUUAUGUGUGUCCAUCGAGAAGGUCAAAGUUUUUAAAAGUCUUGGCUGGGAAAAUUUUAUUUUAUUUGUUAAAUAAAUUAAAUUUUCUUUUAAUGUCAUUUUGAUAGCUAUAACAUUAGAAAAUGGAAACUCGUAAAAAAAACGAGGAUCAUGCAGUUUUGGUAUUAAUAUCAACUAAAAUAAAUGAAAAAUGCUUGUAUACAAAAUUUAAGAUGUGGCCUAAAUUUUUUAAAAAAAUUAUGUGGCCUAAAGCUUGUACUUUUUUUUUUUGUCGACUACCUAAAGCUUGUACUUUAGCUGCCUUAAGGGAGGAACGGGCCUGCUGCCAGUGCCCAGUGUAGUACACUCUCUAAACCUGAGCUUGUUUUCUAAAAUAAAAUAUUCACAGUCAACACAUUAUUUCUAAGAAAAAUGGAAUGACUUCAAAUGCAUUUGACCUUCUCUCCGGUCCAGAAUUCCUUUAGACCAUCUCCAAUGGCUUACUCUAUUUUUUUACUCUAAAAUAGAGUAACUCUAUAAUAGAGUUUAAAUUUGCUCCAAUGGUACUCUAUUUUAGAGUAAAAAAUAGAGAGAUGAACAAAAAAAAAACAAAUUACUCUAUAUUUAGAGUAAACCUAUUUUUCACUCUAUUAUAGAGUGGUAAAUAGAGUGCCAUUGGAGCAUUUUUUACUCUAAACUCUAUUUUAGAGUGAAAAAUAGAGUGGUGUUGGAGAUGCUCUUAGUUGUUUUUUUAAAUUAUUCUUAAUAUAUUAUCUUUUUCUUAUUAUUAAUUUUUACCAAAACUCCUUACUUCUGUAUAUAUAUAUUUCAGUUCAAUAUAUUCUGUUCAGGUAAAAAAAAAUAUUAUUUUAUUUUGAUAUUAAGUAAAAUAUGCGGACCGUUUUACGAAAAAAAUAAUAAAAAGAUAAGGGAUGAAUCAACACAAUAAUAACACAAGGUUCUCUCCAGAGAAUGACACAUCAGAUUUUUAGAAUCAUGUGAGACUGCCAUGUCAAUUAAUGAAAAAAGUAGAAAACCAAUCAAAACAUUUCAUUUAUACGCAUAAUUUUUAGUAAACUACACAUAAGCAUAAACAUUUGUUUAAUAAGCGACUUUUUUAAUAUCAAACCAAUCUCGGACAUAACCCAUAGCUCCAUCGUAGCCAAGUAGAUUCUUCCUGCAAUAUUUUGGGUUUAACCGUAGAUCUCGAUUUCUCAUCAAUGUCACACAUACCGGAAAGAAAAAAAAUACAUGAAAUAUAUAUACAAUAAAGAGAUAAUUAUAUUUAGGAUUUAUAACUAUUACUUGCAGCACAAGUAACUGCCAAGCCCCCUUGUAUGGUAGACGGAGGGAGUUUCCACCACUAAAGCCGGUCGUGGCAGAUCCAGAGGGAGAUUACAUGUCAGGCAUUUCUCAUCAUUCGAAGCUCCAGCUGGCGCCUCACUCAUUGCUCUUUAGGUUGUAAUGGCCUUAAUUAUGGGUAUCACACAGAAAAAAAAUAAUAAUUGACAAGGCUUAGAACAUGUAUCAGCCAACUUACAAACAAAAUUGAGGACAUAAAUUAUAUACAAUAACACAUCGCUUUUUACAAGUGAUGAGACUAGUAGCAGAAGAAAGAAACAAACAAGCUAAAGAAACAAAACACACCAAAUGAGGAAUGAGACAUAAGUACGGUACCUAACCUAAACCCGACUAGCAAGACAGAAGGAGAAACGAAAUGGUCGCACUUUAUUACAGCUGCACUAAGAUUCCUUGUUAAGGACUCACGGGCUUGGUAGAAAUUGGUAGGGCUUGCCAAAGCCUGGCUCCUCCUAACCGCAGAAGCCAAAGAAAACAAACCAAGGGAUAGCAAAAUAAACUAAAGCCACCGAACACGUACCUGAACUUAUAUGAUAUCUUCUUGAAUUUGUAAAAAACAUUUUUCUGAAUUUAGCAAUGUCUUCAUAAAUGUGUAAAUCAAUUUAUUGAAUGUAACUUGUUUGUAUAUUUUGGAAGUUCUUCAUAAAUGUGUAUGACAUUUUUGUGAAUUUAAUUUAUAUGAAUAUUAAAAAGAAUAUUAUUUAAAAAGAAUAUUAAAAAGAAUGUAACUUGUUUGUAUAUGGGGAGCCAGUCUCGGGGUUCGUCCAGCCAUGUUCAGGAUUCCGUUUCGCCCCACAGCUCCUACCAUACAUCUCCUUCUCCAUUACCCGCUCCUGCUGCUCCCGCUCCCGCUGCUAUACCCGCUCCUGCUCCUACGGGUCCUCCGGGAGUGAUGAGUGUUGCGGAGUUGGUUCGACAGCCCGGUCGUGACCAUCUUCCCUAUCUCACUGAGUAUCCACAUGGACAUGGUCAAACAUGGUAAUUAAACUUUUUUUUUUUCCUUAAAAUUUGAUUGAUUAUUAAUAAUUUGUUCUUUUUAUUAGGUUCAACCGAUCCGGGAACGGGAUCAGCGCAUGGAUCAACCGUAUGAUGUACUCUGCCCUCGACAAGGGACAUCCGACUUUCACUCACUUCCCCGUCGAGAAGCAGCAUCUGUGGUUUCGUCAGUUUGCGGUAAGUAUUCAAAAUUUUUACUUAUAUUUUUUAUUUAUUAAAACUAUUUUUUGUGAUUAUUAAACUAUUUUCUAUAUUUAUUAAACAUUUUAAAUAUUUUAAAAACUAUUUUUUUAAUUAUUAAACUAUUUUUUAUUUAUUAAAACUUUUUUUUUGUAAUUAUUAAACUAUUUUCUAUAUUUAUUAAACUAUUUUUUAUUUAUUAAAACUAUUUUUGUAAUUAUUAAACUAUUUAUAUUUUUGUGCUUAAAAACUAUUUUUAAACUAUUUCAGCAAGAAUUCAACUGGAAUUCCGAUGAUACGCUCUCUAUCUAUAACCAUUUUGUCCAUAAAGUUAUGGACAACUAUGGGAAGCAGAUGUACGAGUGGAAGAAGAAAUGGGAAGUAAACAAGGUAGUUUUUAAUUUAUUAACAAUUUUUAAUUUAUUAAACUAUUUUUUAAAUUAUUAAACUUUUUUUUUUUAAAUUAAAAGGUCCCAAAGUCGAUGAACGACACGGUAUGGAAGGAGUUGUGUGAGCAUUGGGAAAAGGAAGAGACGAAAGAAACUUCUUCCACCAACUCCAACAACCGCAGGAGCGACCGUAAAGGGAAGGGCAUCUACAAGCAUAACUUGGGUGCCCAAUCUAUUGCCACUCCCGCGGAUCGCAUGGUAAGUUCAACCGCUUUUUCUUUAAUUAUUUAAGUUUCAGAAUUUUAUUUUUUAUGCAUUUUUUCAAAUUUCUAAUGUUUGUUUAAUUUAUUUUUUUUUCAAGGCGGAAGAAAAUGAGGGCGAGCCGGUUGAUGAUCUCGCCCUAAUGAAAAGGGCGUAUACCAACAAGAAGACCGGUCAGAUUGAUGAUGGUCUUGUGAGGGACGUGGUCGACCUGGUCCAAACUCAGGUGUACGACGAAGUGUCUCAGCUUCAAACCGAUGAUGACGAUUCGACGGCUUCGACCAACUUGUCCCGGGUUCGAAUCAACGAAAUCGUUGAAUCGGUAAGUUUUUUUUUUAAAAGUUCAAUUUAUUUAUUUCUUGAUUUUUAUUUUAUCAUCAAUUUAUAUUAUCUAAAUUUGGUUUUUUAUAUUUCAGUCGGUUCCAAAGAAGAAGGGACGUAUGGUCGGUUUGGGUCGUCACUCCCGGUCGGCUGCUCCUUCUUCUGCACCACCGCCAUAUGUUGAUCCGGAAGUUCUUACGGCUCAGCUGAAGGACAAGGAUGAUCGGAUAUCUGCGUUGGAGACCCAGAUGGCAGCUCAAUAGGCGGGCUAUGAGACCCAGAAGAAGCUCAACGAGCAGAUGAUGGAGAUGAUGAAGAGGAUGUACCCGAACGAGGUGUUCCCGAACAUCCAAGACCCGUAGUUUUUUUUUUUUUUACCAAAAACUCUGAAUGUUUUAUUUAACUUUGAAUAUUAUCUACUAUGUUUUAUUUAAUGUUUUAUUCAAUUUUAAUUUUAAUUUUAAAUUUUUAAAUUUAAAUUUAAAAAAUUUAAAUUUAAAAAAAAAAAAAAAAAUUUCGAAAUUCCGAGGGAAUGGUGUUCCUCGGAAAAUUCCGAGGAACUUUCUUCCCUCGGAAAAUUCCGAGGAACAUAUUUCCCUCGGAAUUUUCCGAGGGAACGGAGUUCCUCGGAAAAUUCCGAGGGACAAAACUCCCUCGGAAUUUUCCGAGGAACUCCAUUCCCUCGGAAAAUUCCGAGGAAUGUUUUGUCGAAACUUUCGAGGAUUGGACCAUCGAAAUUCCAUCGGUAUAUUCCGAGGAACCUUCCAACGAACAUAUGUUUCUCGGAGUUUCCUCGGAAUUUUGUUUCCUCGGAAUUCCGUCGGAAAUUUCCGACGGAAUUCCGAGGAAGUAUGAAUUUCCGAGGACUUUUUUCGUCGGUAUGUCGUCGGAAUAGCGUUAUUCCGACGACAUACCGACGAUUUUUUCCCUCAGUAUCCCGAUGUUUUCUUGUAGUGCACUAAGAUUCCUUGUUAAGGACUCACGGGCUUGGUAGAAAUUGGUAGGGCUUGCCAAAGCCUGGCUCCUCCUAACCGCAGAAGCCAAAGAAAACAAACCAAGGGAUAGCAAAAUAAACUAAAGCCACCGAACACGUACCUGAACUUAUAUGAUAUCUUCUUGAAUUUGUAAAAAACAUUUUUCUGAAUUUAGCAAUGUCUUCAUAAAUGUGUAAAUCAAUUUAUUGAAUGUAACUUGUUUGUAUAUUUUGGAAGUUCUUCAUAAAUGUGUAUGACAUUUUUGUGAAUUUAAUUUAUAUGAAUAUUAAAAAGAAUAUUAUUUAAUGUAUAAUAUAUUUUGAAAAUUUACAAAGAUCCUUUUAUAUAUGUAUAAUAUCUUUAUAAAAUUUAGAUAUCAAAUUCAUGAAGGUCUUUAAAAAAACUUUAGGAAGCCGUUAUGCAUAUUUAAAAAUUGUUAAUAAUUUAAAUUCAGUAAUGUAUUCAUAAAUAUUUAUAUUCAUAGCGGUUAUUAGUUGUUGUAUUUUAAUAGAUUUGAAAAUUCUAACUAAAUCUAGUGUAAUUGGUUCUGUGAUUUUCAAAUCUGUAUUCAAAUCAUGUGUUAUUGGUUUAAUGAUUCAUAAAUUCUAUAUCAAAUCAAGUGUUAUUCAAUCGUACGGAUUUACGAAUAUAUUUGAAUGGAUUUGUUUAGAUUUUUUAGUUAAAAAUACAAAGACUCAAAUCCGAGGAAAAACCUCUCAGAUUUGCAUAUUUUACUUGAAUUUAUAAAUACUAUAUGGAUUUCUAAAUCAAUCAUAAUAUAUAAAACAAUAACACCUCAGAAAGUUUCAUGAAUUCACAUUUAAGAAUAUACUUUUAAAUACACAUUUAUGAAAAAUUUCCAAAAUUUUAUGAAGAUAAUAUACAUAUUAUUGAUCAAUAUCCUUCUAAACUUUACAAAAGAAAUAUAAAUUUGACUUGUUGAAUACAGAUCUUAAAAUAUAAUUUAAUAAUUUAAAUGAUAAUAUGUGAAUAAUAAACUACGGAACUAAAGAUCUAUUUUUCAUAAUAAUCUAGUGUCAUUAAUUUAAAAGAAACCUAAUUUAUUAAUUUAGACUUUUAUAUUUUCAUCCCUCAAAAUAAUUAAGUUAAAGUAUACCAAGGAAAAUUUCCUUAAUUUUAAUAAGAAUCUAUACUAUUAUUUAUGAAGUAAUUUAACUUAUUUGUCAUGAUUUUCAUGAUUUUAAGUAAUUUUGCUUAUUUGUCAUGUUUUAAUUAGGUUUAAGCUGAGUCAUUAAUUCAUUAAUAGUUUUUAGUUGAAUCCAUAAUUUAUUAAUUUAAAUAAUAUAACUAUAAAAUAUGUAAUUAGAUAUAUAAUUAUUUUGAUUUUGCUUAUUUGUCAUGUUUUCCAUGAUUUUAGUCAAUUUUGCUUAUUUUUCAUGUUUUUAUUUAUGUUUUAGCUUAGUCACUCAUUUAUUAAUAAUUUUUAGCUGAAUCACUAAUUUAUUAAUUUAAAAAAUAUCUGUAAUGAAUUUUAUAUAUAAUUAAAAACUAAUUUUGAUUUAAUAAUAUUUAAAUCUAUAUGUUAUAUUAAAAUUCUUAUUUUCUUAUUUGUCAUAUUUUAUUAGGUUUUAAGCUUUUAUAUAGGUCAUUGACUUAUCAUUAGUUUAUAACUGAGUAUUUAUUAAUUUUCACAAAAUCUAUAAUGAAUUUUAUAUAUAAUAAAACACGCAUUUUAUUUAUUUAAUAUUAAAUUUAUAUGUUAUAUUAAAUAAUUAGAUAUUAAAUAAUUAGGUAUAAACUAAUAUAAUAAAAUUGUGAAAAUAGAUUUAAAAAUUAAGAGAAUUCUUAUAUAUAUUGUGUUGCUAUCUGAAAACAAUAUUUUUUAUUAUAAAAUUAAAAAACUAAGAUAUAAAACAGUUUAUAAUUAAAUAUUAGUUUAUAAUGCUGAUUUUUGGAUUAAUAAGAUAUAAAAUAAUAAGUAUUCGUAAGAUGAUUAUACCCGCAUGUGCGGGCAAAACACCUAGUAUAUAAUAAUUGAAGGCCUAAAUACAUUUUCUGACCUAAAUAUAUUACAUCCGGCCCUGGUGAAGACGAUUUUAAGAUUUUUCUUCCGUUCCUCUAUCUAUUAUAUUAGUCUGCGUCUGCUCUUGCUUGUUGCCUAUUCACCGGACAAAACCUAACUCUCGUAUUCUCUGAACGAUAAGAGAACCUUGGAGAUCUUUGUGAAGAUAUGGACGACAAGAUCAGUCAAUUACCUGAUGACUUGCUCUUGAAGGUACUAACGUUUCUUCCAACGAAAGUUGCCGUAAGCACAAGUAUUUUAUCUAAGCGAUGGGAGUUUCUUUGGAUGUGGUUGCCUAAACUUGAGUACGAUGAUAGCGAAUACUCGCCGGGAGAACGCUACAAAUUAUACUCCUUUAUUGAUUUGAGUCUGCCAUUACAUAAAGCUCCAGUCAUAGAAAGAUUACGUCUCAACUUUGACGUAUACGGCAGAUCAUACCGAGCCUACAGUAUCGAGAAGUUGGUUUUAAUUGCAGUGACUAGAUGCGUCCGUGAGUUAAGUGUCACACUUGUAUCUAUGCCUUAUAAAUUUGCUAGAUUACCGAGUAAUUUGUUUACCUGUAAAUCGCUGGUGAUCUUGGAACUUACAGGCCCGAUUUUCGUGAAUGUUCCUCGUAUGGUUUAUCUCCCCUCCCUGAAAUUUUUGAUCCUUGGAUGUAUGGUCUACUCAAAUGAAAAAUCUCUUCACCAACUUCUUUCUCAUUGCCCUGUUCUUGAGGAUCUAGUUCUGGAACGUAAUGAUGAAGACAAUAAUAGUCCAUUUACAUUGAGUGUAAUUGUCCCGUCCCUGCAGAGACUAACCCUAAAGAUAUCUAGAGGAUAUCAUUUUGAAGGGCUUGUGAUAAACACUCCUUCUUUGAUGUAUUUCAAAAUUCUGGAUUAUUUAGAAGAAUAUGCACGUGAUGAUAAUAGUAAUUACUCGUACUAUUUUGAAGAUACGCCUAAGUUGGAGGAGGCAGAUAUUGAAUCGACAUACCCUGAUAUCAACAAGUUUGUUAGAUCGAUCAGAUCUGUUAAGAGGCUUUCAUUAUGCAUUAGAGUCAAUGCUGAUGAGGAGGUAACAAGUUCCCAUCUAUCUAUCUAUCUACCUCAUUUUAGAACACCAAACCAGGUUUUAUUGAUGCUGAAGCCUUUGUUAUUAUGUGCAGGCUUUAUAUCAUGAGGGUAUUGUAUUUGACCAGCUUCAGCAUCUAAAGCUAUGUUCAUGUGGUCCAAAUUGGUCAAAAUUACUUGUCCGGUUACUCAAAGAUUCUCCUUUGUUACGAGACCUUGAGAUCUAUCUGAAUGAAGUAAGUUUCUUCGAUAGAUCUAUCCUUUUGGUGUUAUAAUUUACUGUAAUAUUUAAGACAUAACUCUUUAUUUUUUUUUCAAUUUUAGGAUCAUACAUCUUCUAGAGUGGAUGCACCGGUUUCCUGGCAGAAUCAACUGGAUUGUGUGCCUACAUGUUUAUUGGCAAGUCUUGAAACUUUCAAGUGGACAGUGGUGUAUGUGGAUCACAAGAAGAGAUAGAUCUGGUGAAAUAUAUCUUGAGAAAUGCUCGGUGCUUAAAGGUUGCUAAAAUCUUGUUUGGGCCAUCGUUUUGUCAGCAAGAAGAGGAGAAACUUGAGAUGGCAAAACAAGAUUUGUCACUUUCUUUCAGAGGUUCAAAAACAUGCCAAAUCGUAUUUGUUUGACGUAUUUGAUAUGCAUUUUAUGUAGACAUAUAUCUAUAUUCCCAUUGCCAGAUAUUGUUUUUCCAACUUGGACAAAUAGUAUAUGAAUUUUGAAGAAACAUUAAAGUUCUCCUUCCCUUAUUCAUCUUAAAAACUGAUAAAUUUUGUUUAAGAUGAUAAACUCAUCCGUCCAUCUGAGCAUGCUUCUUAACACGGCUUUUGAACUGCCUAGAUCUGCUCUUGUGCCUUGAGAUAACUUAUGUUCUCCCUUGCCCCUUGUCAUAUCUAAACCACGCUUGAACUGGAUUUCAAUCCUCUUGUUUGCUGAAAGCUCCCCUCCUCCGGGAAUAAUCUUUUGGUCUGCCGGGUUUAUCUGCAACUCUUGCAAUGCCAGCUGAAAUUCGGGAACCAUGUGACAACACAUAAGCUGCUCCCAGCUUGAAGCAUCGAAAAGAGUCUUCCAAGGGAAAAGAAUAGUGUGGACAGACGCAUCACAAGGAUGUCAAGCAUCGAGAAGGUUUUACUCAUUGAUAAUUACGUCCAUAAGAAAAUAACGCUUAAAGAGUUCUUGAGGCACAGAACAAGGUACAAAGAGGAAUCUGUUGGUGAUUUCGAUAAUCAACCUGCAUUGAAGUCUCCCUCGCCUUAAGCGAAGAAGAUGGCACCUAGAAAGGAGAAAAAAAAUGAACAGAUAUCAACAUUUAGAGUUCAAGAUUGUGAGAGAGACAACAAUAUCUUGUAACGUGGAGCAAAACUAAGUCAGAACUUUGCUGUUUGAAUACAAAGGGUUUCUCUGUCGGCAUGCUUUGAUGAUUCCGCAGAUGUGCGGUUUCGCCAGCAUCCAGCCUCAUAUAUUUUGAAAAGGUGGACUAAAGAUGCUGAGAGUGGAGCAUUGGCUGGUGAAGGAUCAAACAUUCUUCUUAUCGCAUGGAUCUCCCACAUUGAGCAUUGAUGAUAAGUUAGAAGCAAGACAGUUCUUCAAUUUUGUCAUCUCUGCUCACUGGGACACCGAGUUUCCAUACGUCAACACUGUUCCCAGAAACUCCACCAUCCACGAUUUCUAUGGCUUUCCUGAUCCCAUGUAUAAGACUCUCCCUCUUCCUCUUUCUUACAAAGAAAAAACCCUAACCUUUGUCUGAACCUGAUUCUAAUAUGGAUAAGGUUCUGUCCUAAACCGUACCCAUAUAGCUGAUCGUUGAAAAGAUUCAUCAAUUUUCAAUUUGGUGUCAAUUACAUCAAAAGUUUCAAUCUUUGUGGUCAACUGGAUCAAAAGUCUCAAUUUUUACAUAAUGGGUCAGUUUUGAUUCUUGCAGCUGAAGUAUAAAGCACCAGGAGCUAAAUGAACUGGGGAAAAAGGUUAAAGAGUUGCUAAUGGGAGGAGGAGGAAUGAAGCGUGUUGAUGAAGAUACAGAGAGAGGACUUGAUUGUGGAGCUUGGCUGAAAUGUUGUGUAUAACUGACUAAUUUGGGUUAUGAGGCAUUAGUCACAGAAGCAUUUAUGUAACAUUUCACAUUUGAAACACAAAAUGUCGAUGAUGAAUCUGGUCAGAAAUCGAUUAAGUGUGAUUGGAAAUUUCUGUUCUUAAGUUUAAAACGGACAUUUAUAUUAUAGAUUUCUUAAUAUAUACUUCUUCCAUUUCAUAAUAUAUGGUUUUUCAAAAUAUAUGAUUGUUGAAAUUUCUACGCUAAUUUUAACUUUAUUAAAAAUUGUUCAACCAAUUUCAUUUUACAAUAUUUUUAUGAUUGUUGGAUUAUUUUUAAUAUAUACUAUGACUGAUGUUUCCUUUUAAAGUAUGUUUUUUAAUCUUUGUGUUUUUAGGCAUAAUCUUUUUUUAAAUAUUUGUAUUUUUAGGCAUAACUUCUUCUUUUACAUCAAAAAAUUAUCUUAUAUAUUAAAACAGAAGUCACGAUCUUGAUUCAUGUGUGAUUUUUUUUAAAAUGGACCUAUUACUAGAAAGUCAUGUUACAUUUAUCAUAUUAAUUGUUUUGUCAUUUAUUUUCAAAUUAAUGUCACCUAAAAUCUCACAUUAUCAACUCAUCUUUUAUUAAUCGUGAUGAUUUCUUUUUACUAUAUAAAAAAUCAAUGACAUGUGUCUCAUAGACCAGAUUUAUUAUGAAUGACCAUACAUUUAAUGUUACUAAAAGUAUACAUUAGUUCAUAAAUUUAUGAUAGUCUUAUUUCAUAUGUCUCUGUCGUUUUCAUUAAAUACUUAAUCGUGUACUAUAUUUAACCAUAUACAGAUAAACGUAUCUCAUGGCCAUAACUUCUAUGACAAUGCUUGACCAAACUAACUUUGUUACUAACAGUGUUUUAUUUUUAGUAAACAUGCUUCAAUGAUAUUUGAGUUAGGAUGCUCUUUGAAUUUAUUGUUGCACUUGUGUUAGUCUUAUUUGAGUUAUUGUUCUCUUUGUAUUAUAUGAUCUUUAAUUUUUAUAUACUGAAACACAGACAUCAUUUGGAGAAGAUGAAGUUAGCUGUAUUCAAAAUAAUAAAACAUCAAAUACGGGUAUAUUCAUUUAACAGCAACAAUAUUUGUUGUUUGUUACAAAAAUCAUAUCUAAAUGGUAUAAUCCUAUAAUUCUGUUACUGUAACAUUAUUGGAAAACAAUCAGCAUAAUAUCAAAGAAAAAAUCUAUUCCAAUAUUAAAUAAUAUAAUUCAAAAAGUUACUAAAUUCAAAUUACGGGUAUAUUAUUUGCCCGCAACUAUAUUGGUCGUAGAUUUAAAAAUUUCACUAAACUUAAAUUGAUGGAGUCUUCCGGUAGUUACUAGAAAAUAGUUUCAUCUCACCAUGAAUUUCUAUGUAUAUUAUAUCAUGAAAUUUUUUUAAUUUAACAUAUUAAAAACAGAUAUCAGUGUUUUUAGUUUAAUAUUCAAUCGUAAUAAUAUUCAAAUAUUAGUGUAGAUUAAUAUUUUAAUAUGUUCAUAAAUACAAAUAAAAUUACUAAAUAAUAAAAUAUUUAUUUAUAUUACUUAUAAUUUUAAUUAAAAAAUUACAGGUAAUAUUCUAUUUCAAUAAAAGAAUAUAAAUACAAAUAAUAUUUAAAUUUGUUGAACUUUGCAUAUAUUAGUGAGAAAAUCUAAUAAGAUAAAUAUAUAAGUCACAAUUACAUGUAAUAGUUCAAAAAAUUUAAUUGAAUAGACAAACAUGCACACUAUAAAAUUAUUGUAUCUAAAAAAGUAUAAAAACUUUAAAUAUAUGAUUAAUUAAUAAAAAAUAUAUACCAAUAAUAAUGUAAAAACAGAUGUAUAUGUUUAUAAAGUGAAAAUAAACACCCGCGCGGUUGUGCGGGUCGAAAUCUAGUUUUAUUAUUAAAAUUUAAGGUUGUCUAGGAAUCCAUACCAAAAUAAAACAAUCAACAAAAACAAAAUUUCUAUGAAAAGAGCGUGCAAUUUUACCUAAAAAGUUUGAUGUCCGGUUUUGGUUCCUUCCGAAAGUUAUGUAAUCUUCCUUGUAGAGAUAUCUGCCAGUUCGAUCCAAAAGUUAAUUUGGCCAUAUUGUCGGGUCUUGAAUCAUUGAAAUGACAUUUUUGCAUUAUGUCCUAAAAAUGACAUGUCGUGUAUUGAACAUAUUCUACAUCGACUAAAUAAGUGCAUCCAAUCAUCAUGUAUGCAACUGUAGCGUAACUUCUUAUAUUAUAAAACAGAGAGUGUAUUAUAUAUUUAUGGAAAUAAUUGAAAAGCAUAAGUUUAAAAAUAAAAUAAAAAAUGUAUUAGCUAAAUGAUAAGGGAAGAAUGUGGUUUUGGUGAUGCACUAUCUGUACUAUUAAAGUAAAAUCUCUAUUAGGAUUUUGCCAUUGAUUUUCAAUUUAUUUACAUUGUCAUGCCAUUGUUUAUUUUUAGGAUUUGUUUUAAUUAAUUUCACCCAUUUAAUAAGGAAACAAAUCUUUUGAACAUAUUAAUUUUGUUUACAUAUACAAGUUUGUUUAAAUUAUUUGUAAAUAACAAGUGUUUACUACGCUUAUACUUAAGCAAUUAAUUAUUGCUAUUAUUUAGGUCUUUUUAGUAUUAAAUAGUUUAUGGAUUUAUUUAAGAGAAAUUUCCAAAGAUAGACAUAAAAAAGUUUUUGUCACAUAUAUAGACCUUAAGAAUAAAAAUGACCAAAAUAGACUUAAUAUUUUAUCAAAAGAAGUAAAUAUACACUUAUGUAGGGUUAAUUAAUCUAGACAUUAGAGUUUAGAGUUAAGGGGUGGGGUUUAGGGUUUAAGGUUAAUUUAAGGUUUAGGGUUUAUAAUUUAGAGUUUAGGGUUUAGGGUCGAGGAGUAGGGUUUUGAGGGUAGGAUUUCAACUUUAAAAAAAUUUAAAAAAUUUAAAAUUUUUAAAAUAAAAAAUGUUAUUUUGGUCUUUUUAGUUUUUGGGAUAUAUUUUUGUGACAAAAACUUAAAAAGGUCUAUUUGAGAGAAUUGCUCUUUAUUUAAACUAACAUAUCACAUUUUACAGCACAAAUAUUUCUUUAUUUGUCUUUUCAGGUUACAAUAUAAAAUUAGUUGGAAAUUUAAACCAAUGAUUACUAUUUUCAUAGUAUUGAUAAAUUUUAUUUAAAUAAAAUGAUUACUAUUUUCAUAGUAUUGAUAAUUCUACAAAAAACGUUUGUUUAGUAUUUUGAAAUAUAGUUAGAAAAAAAUGAAGUAAUUUGUUUUUUUUUGAAUAAUUGAUAAACAUGAAAAUUUAUUGGGUUAGACUAGUUUAUUUUUAUUAUAUAUUACAUAAUUUAAAUCAAAAUAAUUUUAUAUACGAUAAACUAUUAUAAUAUUUAUGGCAUCCAAAACAUAUACAUACCAAAAAUAAAAAAUAUUACAAAAAUAUUAGAAUAUUUAAUAUAUGUUUACAUAGUAUAUCUUUAGAAUGGGUUAAAAUUUAAUAUAAUUAUAGUAUAUAUGUGCCAAAAAUAAUAAUAUUAACACAACAAAAAAUAAAAUAUCAAAAAUUAAAAUUUUGUUGGAAAAUAAUCCCGCGAUUUCAAUAAAGAUAUUUGAUUUCAAUAAAAAUCUAGUAAUUUUCUUAUAGGAAAAGGCAGACAAUAAAGAUAUUUGAUUUUCUUCUUUGUUUCGUGUAAGUACACGAUUUCCUUUACUCAUUUGAUUUCACAUGUUCCCGGUUGCCUUUAGUUAUUUAAGUUUAUAUUGUUGACAAAAAGGAAAAUCGAUACCGUUUUACUCAAACUCUUUUAUUUUCUAAGACAUAAGGGUUUGUCCGAGGUUUAUUACACUGAUAAGAAGUUUUGAGUUUUAAUUUACUAUAGACUAGGUGUUUUGCCUGCGAUGCGGGCUUAAACAUUUUCAUAAAUUUUUGAAAAGUUCUUUGUACACUAUAUUCAUUAUUAAAAUAACUCAAUAUUAUAUUUUAAUUAUAUAAUUAAAAUUUUUAUUUGAUUAAUAUUUAAUUAUAUAAUUUAUAUUUUUAAGUUUUACUAAAAUACUUUUACAGAUAACAAUACAAUAUAUACAGAAAUUAUCUUCUUUUUAAUUGUAUUUUCAGAUUUUGGAUAAUUCUUACUAUUCUUAAUAUUAAUCAAUUAUCUAAUCAAAUUAAUUAAAAUUUCGUUUUUAUUUGUUACUAAUUUAUAUAUUUAAUUCAUUAAGGGUAUAAUCGAUAUUAACCACUCUAACUUUUAACGUGGGAGCUCCGUUGCGAAAAAUUACUUCGCAAAUAAUAGUAUAGAUUAAUAUUUAAUUAUAUAAUUUAUAUUUUUAAGUUUUACUAAAAUACUUUUACAGAUAACAAUACAAUAUAUACAGAAAUUAUCUUCUUUUUAAUUAUAUUUUCAGAUUUUGGAUAAUUGUUACUAUUCUUAAUAUUAAUCAAUUAUCUAAUCAAAUUAAUUAAAAUUUCGUUUUUAUUUGUUACUAAUUUAUAUAUUUAAUUCAUUAAGGGUAUAAUCGAUAUUAACCACUCUAACUUUUAAUGUGGGAGCUCCGUUGCGAAAAUUUACUUCGCAAAUAAUAGUAUAGAUUUUGACUCUUAAAAAGCGUGGAUAUUUUUUUGUUGACCAUAAAACAAAAUAUUAAAUGAAUUUAUAACUAUUAUUAUAUAUCUAUAAUAUUUAAAAAGUGUUCUAUUAUUAUUAUUUCAGUCUUGUACAAUGUUUUUUAUUGAAUUUUUAUAUCCGAACCAGACUUGUGGUCGAACCAAUAGAUCCAUUUACUCGUAUAUAACGAGGGUAGGAUAUAAUAAAACAAACAUGGUAAAAAUACCUUUAAAUACGGUUUAUAUCGUAUAAGCUGUGGUGUCUUAGAUGUCUAAAAGUAUAGAUAGGCGACAGGUUUUGAAAGUCAAAAGUGGGUCAAAUAAUUUAUAUAGUUUGGUAGUCCAUGGUGUACGAAUAUUUUAAAACGGUUCAGUUAUAAAAUUGUGUAACCGAUUUGAUGGUUACAGUGAAAACCGGAGACAUUAGUAGUGUUUAAUGCUGGUCACAUAUUGUCAUAAUAUAUAGGGGAAAGAGAUAAUAUAUCGACUCAGCAGUUAUAUCAUCAUUUUCUUAAUUUUUGGUAUAAUCUUAUCAAUUUUAUUCUUUACAAUAUCCAGUUCUCCGUAUUAUUGUCCCAUCAUAAGAAACAUAAUCGUUGGAUUCGUGUAAACCCAGAAACGAUGAUACAAGAUUCUGCCAAGCAUUAGCGAAAGAAAUGCUCAUUUUUUACAGCAUGAGAAAAGAGCAACACAUUUUGAAAUCGACUCAUGGUCGAGUAUCCUGGUGACUAUGCUUGUAUAUCAUCCUUCAAAAUCAAGUUUUAUAGCAUAUAAUCUGAUUCAGUACAGAAGAAGUAUAGUACUUCAUAAUAUGGUAAGCUACAAACCAACCUUUUCGUUCUUGAGAGAAUUACAAAUUUGCUUUCAUUUAGUUGAAAGUACUUAAACUACAUUGUUUUAAACUGUCACGUUCAUGAAAUUCAAGUUUUUACCAAAAGAAAGAAGCUUACAUUGGAUUUGUUUUGCGGGAUUAAGUGAAAAGAUUUUUUUUUUUCUAAUCUAUCUGAAACGGGAGAUUGUGGCUCAUGCUCCUCAACUUAUUGGUAAAGAGUGGGGGUUACAUCUCUGUAUAGAACUGGGAUUAUGAGAUUGCAAGAGGCUUAUUAAUUAUUAUGAUCAUGCGAUACCGCAGAAAAGGUUUUUUUGACUAUCAAAUCUUUGAGACGUACGAGGUUCCACACCUGUAUCUGAAUUUUGAUGAUCGCAUUUUCUGUUAAAAUUGCAAAAAAUAAUUACAAUACAUAAUUCCAACAGAGCAUUUCGGACCCUGCAUUCAAAUAUAAGCAUUAUAUGGACUUGCCCUUGAGAUGAAAUAUGGAGGAAGAAGCUCUUUAAAAACUGUCUAAAUGCCCAAUAAGAUUGCCCCUAAUUCGAAUUGUAGCUCAACAGGAAUAUUACUUGGUUGUACAAAGAGUAAGGAGUAUUCAAAGUCUCGAUGUUGGGUUAUUGAAAAAAAAGGUAUUUUUUUCUUGUUUUGUACCAAAAGCACAAGAAAUAAAAACUGCUACGAAGGAUACUGAUUUGCAGAUAAUCAAUAACGAUGUUUUAAGUAUAUAAUCUAUAUGGCUUGGUCUUACUUUUCUUUUAUCGGUUGGAGAGACAUAGUCACUCGUUUCAUGUGAUAAAGCAUCGAUCAACGAAUCAAUAGGAUAUGCGGUGCGGUGCGGUGAGGUUAGUUGGUAAGUGUGGCCUUUUGGAACACAUGAUACUCUCUUUUCUUACUUAACGGAUGGCUUGUUUGUUGGAGCACCAGCAUUGGUUCUUAUUCUAAUGGGUUUCUAUCUACAUAAAUCUAUACUAAUAAAAGGAACAUUUUGAAGCUCAAUAGGACGUCUACAUCAGCGAAAAAAACUUCUUCUAAAAAAUGACACGUGGCAUUAACAAAAAAAAGUAUACAUAUAAAAAUAAAUAAAUAAUAAGUAAACAUACAAUAUAAGAAAUAGACAUAUUACAUUAAACAAUAAUAAGUAAAUAUACAAUAUAAAGAAAAUAAAUAAAAAGUAAAUAUACAAUAAGAAAUAGAAAUAUUACAUUAAACAUCUAUCAUAAUUUAUCAUCUGAUUUAAAAUCAAGAAAAUUAGAAUAUGUAAAUAUAUAAUUAAAAAAUGAAAAAAAACUAAAUUAAACAUCUGUCUAAAAAUUUAUUUAUUUAUACUAAUAAAAUGGAGCUUUUGAGGCUCCAUAGAGCGUCCACAUCAACGCAAAAAAAACUUCUCCUAAAAGAUGACACAUGUCAUUAGUAAAAAAUAAAAAAUAAAUAUACAUAUAAAUAAAAAUAAUAAUAAGUAAAUAUAGAAUAUAAGAAAUAGAAAUAUUACAUUAAACAAUAAUAAGUAAAUACACAAUGUAAAGAAAAAUAAAUAAAAAAGUAAAUAUAGAAUAUAAAAAAUAAAAAUAUUACAUUAAACAUUUAUCACAAUUACAUUAAACAUCAAUCAUAAUUUAUCAUUUGAUACAAUUAAGAAAUUAAAAAAAAAAAAUCUAUCUGAAAAAUAUAUAGUAAAAUAAAUAAUAACUAAAUACAUAAUAUAAAAAAUAGAAAUAUUAUAUUAUACAAUUAUCGUAAUAUUAGAAAAAAUAUAUAUAAAAUAUAAGAAAAAAUAAAUAUUAAGUAAAUAUAGUAUAUAAGAAAUAAAAUUAUUGCAUUAAAUAUAUAUGGUAAUAUUAUCAUUGAUGUAAAAGCAAGAAAUUUAGAAUAAAUAAAUAUACAAAAUAAGAAAGAUAAACAGUAAGUAAAUAUACAAUAUAAAAAAUGGAAAAACUAAAUUAAACAUUUAUUUGAAAAAUGUAUAGUUAAAUAAAUAAUAACUAAAUAUCCAACAUAAAAAUAUUAGAUUACACAUAUAUUAUAACAUUAGAAUAAGUAAAUAAGGAACAUUUUGAGGCUCAAUAGGACGUCCACGUCAGCGAAAAAAACUUCUUCUAAAAGAUGACACGUGGCAUUAUUAAAAAAAAAAACAUAUGAAGAAAAAUAAAUAAUAAGUAAACAUACAAUAUAAGAAAUAGACAUAUUACAUUAAACAAUAAUAAGUAAAUAUACAAUAUAAAGAAAAUAAAUAAAAAGUAAAUAUACAAUAAGAAAUAGAAAUAUUACAUUAAACAUCUAUCAUAAUUUAUCAUCUGAUUUAAAAUCAAAAAAAUUAGAAUAUGUAAAUAUAUAAUUAAAAAAUGAAAAAAACUAAAUUAAACAUCUAUCUAAAAAUUUAGUUAUUUAUACUAAUAAAAUGGAGCUUUUGAGGCUCUAUAUAGCGUGCACAUCAACGAAAAAAAUUUCUCCUAAAAGAUGACACAUGUCAUUAGUAAAAAAUAAAAAAUAAAUAUACAUAUAAAGAAAAAAAAUAAUAAGUAAAUAUAGAAUAUAAGAAAUAGAAAUAUUACAUUAAACAAUAAUAAGUAAAUACACAAUGUAAGGAAAAAUAAAUAAAAAAAGUAAAUAUAAAAUAUAAAAAAUAGAAAUAUUACAUUAAACAUUUAUCACAAUUACAUUAAACAUCAAUCAUAAUUUAUCAUUUGAUACCAUUAAGAAAUUAAAAAAAAAUAAAAAUCUAUCUGAAAAAUAUAUAGUAAAAUAAAUAAUAACUAAAUACAUAAUAUAAAAAAUAGAAAUAUUAUAUUAUACAAUUAUCGUAAUAUUAGAAAAAAUAUAUAUAAAAUAUAAGAAAAAAUAAAUAUUAAGUAAAUAUAGUAUAUAAGAAAUAAAAUUAUUACAUUAAAUAUAUAUGGUAAUAUUAUCAUUGAUGUAAAAGCAAGAAAUUUAGAAUAAAUAAAUAUACAAAAUAAGAAAGAUAAACAGUAAGUAAAUAUACAAUAUAAAAAAUAGAAAAACUAAAUUAAACAUUUAUUUGAAAAAUGUAUAGUUAAAUAAAUAAUAACUAAAUAUCCAACAUAAAAAUAUUAGAUUACACAUAUAUUAUAACAUUAGAAUAAGUAAAUAAGGAACAUUUUGAGGCUCUAUAGGACGUCCACAUCAGCGAAAAAAAUUUCUUCUAAAAGAUAACACGUGGCAUUAACAAAAAAAAAAAAUACAUAUGAAGAAAAAUAAAUAAUAAGUAAACAUACAAUAUAAGAAAUAGACAUAUUACAUUAAACAAUAAUAAGUAAAUAUACAAUAUAAAGAAAAUAAAUAAAAAGUAAAUAUACAAUAAGAAAUAUUACAUUAAACAUCUAUCAUAAUUUAUCAUCUGAUUUAAAAUCAAGAAAAUUAGAAUAUGUAAAUAUAUAAUUAAAAAAUGAAAAAAAACUAAAUUAAACAUCUAUCUAAAAAUUUAUUUAUUUAUACUAAUAAAAUGGAGCUUUUGAGGCUCCAUAGAGCGUCCACAUCAACGAAAAAAAACUUCUCCUAAAAGAUGACACAUGUCAUUAAUAAAAAAUAAAAAAUAAAUAUACAUAUAAAUAAAAAAAAUAAUAAGUAAAUAUAGAAUAUAAGAAAUAGAAAUAUUACAUUAAACAAUAAUAAGUAAAUACACAAUGUAAGGAAAAAUAAAUAAAAAAGUAAAUAUAGAAUAUAAAAAAUAGAAAUAUUACAUUAAACAUUUAUCACAAUUACAUUAAACAUCAAUCAUAAUUUAUCAUUUGAUACAAUUAAGAAAUUAAAAAAAAAAUUAUAUCUGAAAAUAUAUAGUAAACUAAAUAAUAACUAAAUACAUAAUAUAAAAAAUAGAAAUAUUAUAUUAUACAAUUAUCGUAAUAUUAGAAAAAAUAUAUAUAAAAUAUAAGAAAAAAUAAAUAUUAAGUAAAUAUAGUAUAUAAGAAAUAAAAUUAUUACAUUAAAUAUAUAUGGUAAUAUUAUCAUUGAUGUAAAAGCAAGAAAUUUAGAAUAAAUAAAUAUACAAAAUAAGAAAGAUAAACAGUAAGUAAAUAUACAAUAUAAAAAAUGGAAAAACUACGUUAAACAUUUAUUUGAAAAAUGUAUAGUUAAAUAAAUAAUAACUAAAUAUCCAACAUAAAAAUAUUAGAUUACACAUAUAUUAUAACAUUAGAAUAAGUAAAUAUAAAAUAUAAGAAAAAUAAAUAAUAAGUAAUUAUACAAUAUAAGAAAUACAAAAAAUACAUUAGACAUCUAUCUAAAAAAAUCUAUAAUAAAAUAAAUAAUAAUUAAAUAUAAAAUAUAAGAAAUAAAAAUAUUACAUUAAACAUAUAUCGUAAUAUUACAAUUUGAUUUGAAAUAAAAAUAGUUAGAUAAGUAAAUAUGCAAUAAAAAAAUAAAUAUACAAUAUAUGAAAUGAAACAACUACAUUAAACAUCUAUAUUUUUAUUACUUCCAAAAAAAUUUAUAAGUAAAUAUACAAUAUAAGAAAAAUAAGCAUACAAUAUAAGAAAUAUAAAUUUUACAUGAAACAUAAGCAUACAAUAUAAGAAAUAUAAAUUUUACAUGAAACAUCUAUUAUAAUAUUAUCAUUUAAUAUAAAAGCAUGAAAAUUAGAAUAAGUAAAUAUACAAUAAAAAAAUAAACAAUACGUAAAAUACAAUUAAUAAAUGAAAAAACUAAAUUAACAUCUGUCUCAAAAAAUUUGCAGUAAAAUAAAUAAUAAGUAAAUAUACAAUAUAAUAAAUAGAAAUAUUAUAUUAAACAUCUAUCGUAAUAUUAGAAUAAGUAAAUACAAUAUAUAAGCAAAAUAAAACAAAUCUGAGAAACAUACAGUAAAGUAAAUUAUAAGUAAAUAUACAAUAUAAGAAAUAAAAAUAUUACAUUAAAAAUUAUUAAGUAAUAUUACCAUUUGAUAUAAAAGUAAAAAAAUAGAAUAAGUAAAUAUUCAAUAUAAAAAAAAUAAAAGUAGGUAAAAUGCAAUUAAGAAAUGCAAAAACUACAUUAAACAUCUAUCUGAAAAAUGUAUUAUUUUAUAUUUUUAUUAUUUAAAAAUACAAUAAGUAAAUAUAAAUUUUUAAUAUUAUAAUAAAUAAAUAUAAAAUAUAAGAAAGAAUAAAUAAUAAGUAAAUAUAAUAUCAAAGAAAUAAAAACAUUACAUUAAAUAUAUAUCGUAAUAUUAUCAUUGAUAUUAAAGCAAGAAAUUUAGAAUAAGUAAAUAUAUAAAAUAAGAAAAGAUAAACAGUAAGUAAAUAUACAAUAUAAAAAAUAGAAAAACUAAAUUAAACAUUUAUCUGAAAAUUAUAUAGUUAAAUGGAAAAUGUAUAUUUAAAUAAAUAAUAAGCAAAUAUACAAUAUAAGAAAUAUAAAUAUUAUAUUAAACAUCUAUUGUAAUAUUAUCAUUUGAUAUAAAAGCAAGAAAAUUAGAAUAAAUAAAUAUAUAAUAUUGAAAAAUUCCCUAUGAUAGUCUUUUUUAAGUUUUUGUUACAAAAUAACUAUAAACGAGGUUAAGACCCGCGCCUUGCGCGGGAUGAAUAUUAUAUAUAAACUAUUUUUAAGUAUUAUAUAUUUUUACAUAUUAUGAAAUAAUAAAUAUAUAUUGAAUAAUUAAAAAUUUAGUAAUUAUUACGUAUAUAAUUAAAUUGGUACAAAUACUUAAAUAAAUUUUAUUCAAACACUUUUUCUAUUUUAUAUGUAUAAAAUUAAGUAUAAAUGAUAUUAACAUAGAUAUAUAGUACAUUUUUAAUAUUGGCAUCUGUUAAAAAGUAUUUUAUACUCAUAUUAUUUUUGAUCAUUUGUAUUUUUUUAUAACAAAAAUCUUAAAUCACCAAUAACAAUAAAACUUUUGUGGGGUGUUUAAUAGUUUUAGUAAUUUAUAAUUUCAAAAACAUUCAAUGCAAAGUUUAAAAUCUAAAAAUUAUGUUGUCAAUAAUUGUUCAAAAUGUUUAUCCAAAAAAUUCAAAGCAACUUUCGAAAUUAAAAUACAUUAUGUAUUUUAUAAGGUAUAUAAAUUAUUUUAAAAAUAUUAAUAUACAUAUAUAUAUAUAUCUAAUAUUUAUUAAAUGAGACUUCCUACUUAUGUAAUUUUGUAAUCAUUUGUAUCUUGAUAUAACCAUGAAUCACACAAAUUUUAAUGUGAGAUUUUUAACAACUUUAGUCAUUUUUAUUCGUUUUUAAAAAUUCAAAAUAUAACAUAUACGAAAAAAUCUAAAUUUUUAUUUUAAUAAGUUAAAAUUUUUAAAAAUGAUAGAGAAUAGACUAUUUUUUAUCAAAUCUUUAUUAUUCAAAAUCAUUAAUUGUCAUAUAUACUUUAGCCACAUUAGGUAAUUCCGUGAAUUUUAUUUAAGGAGACAAUGAAGAACAUUUAUGAUUAAUUUAUGGUUAGUUUAAUAAAAAGCUUAUUAUAUAUUUAUAUGGACCAACAUAUUUUUCUAAGGAUUCUAAGAAUGAUUGUGGUGAUGACAUGUGGCUACAAAAAUAUGUUGUAAUGCUUCUCUUUUAAUAUAUAAGGGAUGAGAAAAAUGACCAAAAUAAUUCUUAUUAAAGAGUAAAAAUACAUUUAUACCCUAUGGUUAACUAACAUAAAUUUAUGGUUUAGAGUUAAGGGGUGGGAUUUUGAGGAUAAGAUUUCAAAUUUUUUAAAAUAAAAAUAAUAAAUUAAAUUUUUCAAAACAAAAAGGGCUAUUUUGGUCAUUUUCCUUAUUGAAUGCUAUUUUGUGAGAAAAAUUUAAAAGAUCUAUUUGAGAGAAUUGCCCUACAAUAUAAGAAAAAAUAAAUAAUAAAUAAAUAUACAAUAUGAGAAAAGAAAAACUAUAUCAAACAUUUAUCAGAAAGAUGUAUCGUUUUCCAUUUUUUAUGUUGUAUGUUUACAUAUUAUUUUUUGAAAAUAGAAAUGUAAAAUGGUAAUCUUACAUAUGUUUAAAGUAAUAUUUCUAUUUUUAUGUUGUAUGUUUACAUAUUCGAAAUUAUAUAUAAUGUUUUUUGUUUUUUUUUUAUAAAACAGUAAUGUUACAUUAUGGAGAUAAGCCGGUAUUUGUUUUAAGUGAAAAAUGGUAAUGAAUUUUUGAGGAUAGGAUUUCAAAUUUUUUAAAAUAAAAAUAAUAAAUUAAAUUUUUCAAAACAAAAAGGGCUAUUUUGGUCAUUUUUCUUAUUGAAUGCUAUUUUGUGACAAAAAUUUAAAAGAUCUAUUUGAGAGAAUUGCCCUACAAUAUAAGAAAAAAUAAAUAAUAAAUAAAUAUACAAUAUGAGAAAAGAAAAACUAUAUCAAACAUUUAUCAGAAAGAUGUAUCGUUUUCUAAUUUUUUCUAAGGAAAUAUAUAUUCACAUAAACAUACAAUUGAGAAUUUGUUGUUGUUCAUAAUACAACGUUCAAAAAAAUAACUACAUGGUUAACAUUUGAAAAUAAAAAUAGCCCUGCGCGUAGCGCGGAUUAACUCCUAGUUAAUAUAAAAAACUUGUGGGAAAGAAGACAAACGAAAAAACGUCUCUCAGUUAAGAAAGAUCUUAUUUAUUAAUUAGGGUUAGACGUAGGACGGCUGAGUAAGUAAAAAAUUAACAGAAUAUAUAUAUAUAUAUUUUAAUAUACAUCUAAAAGUAUUUAGUUUACUCUAUUGUUCUUCUUAGAAAUAACAUGCUUGCCUAUUUAAUAAGAAAUUUCUUAAUUGAUGUAAUUAAUUUUUAUCAUAAUUGUUUUAAAAAGUUUAUUAUAAAAGUAUGUAAAAUAAAUUAAUCUGAAUUAUACCGUUGAAAUUAAAUAGAAUACAUUAAUCAUUUUUCCUUCUUAAGAUUUUUUUUGAAUACUUUGGUACUUUUAUUUUAUUAAAUUUAUUGAUUUAAAUAAUUCAAAAAAGUGUAUACAUUGGUACUCUUUAGAUAUAUAUCUAAAAUUAUCAAAUAAACUAUGUCAUCCAAAUUUAUUAAGAUUUUGAAGCAAAUAUUAUUGUUAGGUUUUGGAUUAUAAUUGGUGGCGGUUUUAUUUCUAUUUGAUUACAUUUUGAAUAAUAUUUAUGUACAUUGGUUUAAUUAUAUAUAUGAUUAAUUAUGAUUUACUUAAAAAAUUUAACAUAUUUUUUAUUUUAAAAAAUUAAUAUUUUCUUUAGUAAUAUUUGUUUUUAAAAAGAUAGAUUGUGUAUAACAAAUAAGAUUCAUUCCUAGACUCAUUCUUUUAAAUAAAAAAAUUUUGUUUUGAACAAAUUUAAAAUAAUAUUAUUCUAAUUAAGUUUUAGUUUCUUUUAUAAAUUCAUGUAAAAUUUAUUAAAACUAACUCACAUAUUUUAUUUAUUUAAAGAUAUUUAUAUGUAUAUUCAAAGUACAAAAAAAUAAAUAAUGAAAGAUGUAAUAUUCACAUAUAUGAUAAACCAUCAUCAAAAGAGAAAAACUAAUUUUAUUUAUGUAUAAUAUAUUAGUAUAUUUUUGUGUUAUAUUUUAAAACAGGAUUUUAGUUUGUAUAUUAGAAAAUUAGAAAUGACUUUUAUUUUUUAUAUAAAUUUAUGUUAAUAUAUCUAAAUGAUUGAACAUAAAAAAAUAUAAUAUUAAUUUAUUAAAAUAUUUAUAUGAAAUAGUUUAGAUUUUGAUUUAAAUAUUAUUAGUAUGAUAUAUAUAUAUAUAUAUAUAUAAUGAUUUUUCAUUCGAAAAAGACUUGUGAUUAGAAGAUGAUUUUAAAUAAUUUUAUGGAAUAUUAAAUGUUUUGUUAAAAAUACUUGGAUUAAAUAAUAAGAAGAUAAAAGAAAUAAAAAAAUCUUAAAAUAAGUGAUGAGGUGUUAACUUUUGGUACACCACUUGCUUAGAUGGCUUCAUUAGAAAAGAGAAAAUUCAACUUUAUUAGUAUAGAUAGAUUGAUAAACAUUGUAACAUGUGAACUAUGUUACGUGUAAUCACUAAAAUGAUUUAUAUAGUUUUUAGGAAUAUAUUGGUUCAUUUAAAUAUAUAGUAUAUGUUUUUACUAAACUAACCAUUAAAAAUAUUAUUUUUAAAAUAAAAACUACGAAACUACAUAAUGUGAUUAAAAUGUAUAAUGAUUUUGAAUAAUAAAAAGUUUGAUAACAAUUUAUGUAAACUCUAUCCAUUUUGUUUAAUUUAGUAUUAUUAAAAAAUUAAAAAAACACAUAACUAUAUAAUAAAAAUUUAAUUUUUUCUUAUAUAUUACAUUUUGAAUUUUUUAAACAUUAUUUGAUUUGUUUUACUUUGAAAAUUUACGGAAAUCUGAAAAACAAGAUAUCCAGAAAAUAUACGAAUAAUUGCGGAUAUUAUAGAAUACUUAUGAAUAUUUCGUCCAUUUUAUUUGAUACAAAUAAUGGAUAAAAUUUGAUACAAAUGUUCUUUAAAAUAUUUAUUUUACAUGAUGUAUAAAAUAAGUAAUGAAACUAUUUUGUAAAUUUUAAAUUUAGCUAACAAUAAUAAUAAGACAAAACUUAAGAAAAAGUUAUCAUUGUCAUAUAUUUGUUGGUUUAAUAUUUUAUAACCAAUGAUGUGCAUAGAAUUUAUUAAAUUAUAUGUUAAAAUAAUAAUCAUAUAAAUAAUAAUCUAAAUUUAAUGAAGAUAUACAUGUAUUAGUACAUCUUUUGGAGCGUAGCGGGUAUCAUGUUCCCAAAAUUUUAGUAUUUGUAUUAUUUCGAUUCUAACAGAUAUUAAUUUUUAUUAUUUGCUUUGGUUCGAAAAUUUACGUUUAUCAGGAUUUUUGGAUCGAAUUGAAAUGAAUAAUGAAUCAAAUCAGAAUUUUAAUAAAAUGCCUAGUCCUGUUGAGCAUCAUCUACUUCGAGGAAUACUUUUUGGGGAACUUUGCAUGUUGUUCUAUUUUUGAGAAAAUUGAUAAAUUGAUGAAAGGAAAUAACAUAAAAUAUUAGUAAAGAAUAUAUUUGUAACAUUCUGAUUUCUGGUAUAUAUGUGGAAAGGUUUAAGAGAAUUGAUUUGGCUACCUAUGUCAUCAAAUGCGUUUACUUUUCCGUCACACAUCCAUUUAAAACUACAGAGUUAAGUGUGCUUGAGCUGCAGUAGUGAAAGGAUAGAUGAUCUAUCGAGAAGUGAUUCGGGAUACCGUGCAAGUGAGGCCAAAACACGGGAAAAGAUCAUAGGGUGAUUGCAGGGUCAGUAGACAAGACUUUCGAGCCUUGAAAAAAUUAACGCACAGCCUAUCGCACAGAACGGGCCCCACGGGUCGAGAGACCAGGCGUGGGAGGCCCAUUAGUCCUUGGGUUCGUGGCGUUACAAGUGGUAUCAGAGCAUAUUAGCCAUCUCGGUUCUGGAUCGAGAGGCGUUUUGAGACUUGUCGUGGUGUGCUACGGGGGCGUUGCGCUCUGUGAGUGAGGAUGAAUUGUAACAUCCCGAUUUCUGGUAUGUGUGGAAAAGGUUAAGAGAAUUGAUUUGGCUAUCUACGUCAUCAAAAUGCACUUACUUUUUUCGUCACACAUCCAUUUAAAAUUUUAAAGUUAAGCGUGCUUGGGUUGGAGUAGUGAAAUGAUGGGUGAUCUCUUUGGAAGUGAUUCGUUAUACCGUGCGAAUAAGGCCAACACAUGGAGAAAAGUCAUGUGGUGAUUACAAGAUCAGUAGACAAGACUUUCGAGCCUUGAAAAAAGUUAACGCAUCGCCCAUCACAACAGGACCCACAGACCGAGAGAGCGGGCAUGGAAGGCCCAUUAGCCGUGGAUAUUCGUGGCAUUACAAUAUUAGACUCUCAUAGAAAUAAUUUUUAUGGUAUAAAUAUAUUUAUAUAGAAAAUAAAUCAAUUUAACUAUAAACUAAUAUGGUUAUAGGUAAAAACAGUGAGUUUUCUCUCUAAAAGAUCUAUCUCCCGAGCGAAAACCCUAUCUCCUCCUUUAGGGUGGCCGGCGGUGUUUCUCCUCCUCCGUUGACUCCGGUAGCCCCCCCCCCCCCCCCCUCGUUAUCUUCCUUCCUCUCGCCUCUCCUCUUCCUCCUUUCCUCCAUUUUCGCGGUGUAGAUAUGGUGCAUCCGACCCGGAUCUCCGCAGAAGCAAAGUGGAGGAGUGGAUAUGUGGUUCCUUUGGUCAAUCGGAGUGGCUGUGGUUCAGAUCUGGCGAGCUCUGUCUCUUUACUCUGCCACCUCUGUUUGAUCUUCUCGACUAGGGUGCGUAAGUUCGCUUGGCUGAAGGCGCUUAGAGUUCCUCAGACAAUGGAGAUGCAGUGUUUUUUCCGCUCGUCUCGGUUAGUCUCCGGUGGCGUAUUUUUUAACCCGAUCAACCAUUCUCGCAGGGGCUUCUAUGGUGUUUCUUUCGUUUCCACGCCGGUUUGGUCUGUUACGGGAUCUCCAUAGCGGGGACGUGUAUGAGGAGGUGAGGAGUCGGUCUUGUCAACCACGACUAACCUCUUUGGUGGUGCCGCAUGUGUAGUUAACAAGGAAUGUGGGUAGAUCUAGGGCUGCCCUGGUCCACUUUGCCUUCUGGUGGAGUAGUUGGUUAUGUCUUCGUAGUGCAGGUUCGAGAGUGUGUUGCGGCCCAUGGUUAGUGAUGUAUUGAGAUUUUUCAUGGUUUUAAGCAUCAUUUUCAUAUUCAUUUAGAUCAUUUUGGAUGCAUUUAGAGUUUAAUUAGGUACUGAUAUUACGUGUAUACGCACACCAAAUAACCUAAUGUGCACACUACCACAAUCGAAUGGUAUGUCGAUGUAGCACUUUAGGAUCGAAUCCACAGAGACCAACUGUUACACUUUAUUUCUAUAGGAUCAAUAUUAAGCUAAAACAAUAUGGGAGUUUUAAGAUUGAGGUAUUAUAACAGAAAAUAAAAGACUAGUUAAAAGGUUUUCAGAUGAUUAAAAGAGCUAGGUUCAGGGUGAUUCAUUGGGAUACUUAGGAUCAUGAGCUACACAACUAUUCAAGAAAACAAUAUGAGCCAAUCUAGAACUUGAACAACAAGAAUAGAUAAACCCACUGUCGUGGUGUCUACCAAUUUAUCAAGCAAUCCUAAUGCCUAAACUGUCGUUUGGAUCAGAGAAUGAUGACAAGCAUUAAGUUCAGAUUCAAUUUGUUCACGAUUCGCCUUAACAUCAGCUUUCGUUGGCUAAGGACAAAUCGCCUAUCUAUGCUAUUUCCAGUAACCUAAAACACUUUUGAUGAAUAGAUUAAACUUGUGAUCAGAUGCUAAAUGGCCAGUUUAACAUAAGCAAUAAGCAUAACAAUAGACAGAGAUAUCAAAGAAUAACAAUCCUAUUUGUGUCUAGCUCAAUGAUCCAUGAUCCUUAACACCCUAAACCUAACAAGCGACUACUCAGACAUGGACAAAGAAAUCACAGAGACAAAGACUGAAUAAAACAUCAUGCAAUUCAAUAGAAUAAGAAUAGGGUUCAGGAUAAUCUUCUCUAUGACGAGAGAGAUGGAGCCUUCUCCCUUUACAAUAAGCAAAUCCUCAAAUUCUAAAGUCUCCAAUGGUUUUCUUCUGUCUAGAAUAGCGUAGAAUGAUAAAGAGAAACAGAAAAUAUGAUAUAUCAAAGCCACAGGCGGCUGGGAGACAAAAUAUGGAUAAUUAUGACAAAUCCCGUAAUGAUUGUAGUUUCCUUAAAAAUCUCUGCCGCUGGAACACUCACUCGGAACAGUCACUCGGGUUGCUCCGCUAUCCGGAACAGUCAUCAAGACUGUUCUGCGUGAAAAUCACCAAAUUGCACUAUUUUCUGCCUCUUUUGUUCCAGCUGGUUCAUCUCCCAUCCAAUGCAACUCCAGACCUGUAAUGACUCGAAAAGGACUAGGAAGACUCGAUAAAGACUUGAAAACCAAUUUAAAAGCAUAUAUACAAGAUGUAUAAAACACCAUAUAUCAAUUCCCCCAGACUUAGAUCCUUGUUUGUCCUCAAACAAUGUCAAGUAUCAAGAACAGGGAGAAAGGUUUGAAAGUGUGGGAACUCUCCUAUUCUCAGCAACCAUACUUUAACCACGAAUCUCUGAACCAUACAAGCAGUAAAACUAGGACAACACACCCUUACCGGAACCCCACUGACUGCUGUUCAAAAAUCGGCUCCAUACUCUUCAUCUCAAACCUGAAAAAGCAACACUAUCGAGACAGAACUCCCUACAUUCAUUUAAGAGUAGCGUGAGCUUCUCAUCACAGGCAUCAUUCAGGGUAGACGGUCUAGGUGUGGAACAGGCUAUUUAAUGGUGGAGUUAAGAGUGUUUAGGGGCUACCAUUUCAUUGAAGAGGAUGCAGGAUAUCACACAAAAUGGCAAGAGAGGAUAGAUCCAUUGAUGUCCACAGCCUCUACUCGUUUUUGCUCUAUCUGGUGCGACUGUUCUGAUGGCGGAACAGGCAACUGAUUGUUCUGCGUUCCACUUUCCUUUUGGUACCCACUCCUUUGUUCGAUCUUCCCAGUGGCUCAUGUUUCUUUUCUUUCUUCCCCUUCUCCAUCACAUUAAUCUCGUUUUUUUUUUUUUUUUUUUUUUGAAGACUGAUAUGGUGAUGUGACGAAGAAGGAGGUAAUACAUGAUCGUUCUGAGUGCCACUGGUGGUUCUGAUUUUGCAACCAUUCUGGUUCUCCACCCCUGCUCUUGCGCAGUUCAUUGGUUAUGGAGCAGUUGCUCCCUUAAUCUGCUUGUUCUCCUUUCUGACUGAAUUUCUGCAGCAGUAACGAGUAGCAGGCUGCGUUGAUCCUUUCCUCUCCGACCUUUUUGCACAUAUCUGCACAUAUGACACUGAAAAACAAAUGCAUGAAGGUGGAAUAAAGGCUAAGGUGCAGGGUGGGAACUAGCUAAAGAUGAGCUAGCCACUCAGGAUCAGCAAGAUGGAUAAAAAGGAUAAGAAGUCCUGAGUGUGUUCUCGUUUCCCUGAUCUAAUGCCCAUAACAAGAAGAAUUUCAGUCAAGAUUAGGUUCAAGUAAGGUGGAGUUAAGUCUACCCAGUGUAACCUGAUCGGCUGAGAACUUCUGGAGAAUCAAGUGAGAUAUGUCAGGGUGUUCCAGGUCCACAUGUGUGUCUUUCGCCACUGCUAAGGUCACUGAAUAAGAUAACUAAAGCACGAGGUGGUCAGUGAUCAACACAGAAUAAGGUCCUAAUUCCCACAAAGUUUUGACUGACUCAAUAAAAACUGACUCAAAUUGACCCAAAAGAAAAACAAAAGAAAGAAACGAGUUAGUAAACGACGAAAACCCUCCCCCGGACUUACUUCACAACGUCCCUGGUGUGAAAAUAAAUCAGAGAGAAGGAAAAAACAAGAAUAAAUUAUUUUAUUUUUUUUUUUCGAGAUACUUACCUGGUGCGGAGCAGCCUGACAGAGCAAGACGCGGUUGCUCCGGUAAAGGAUGCUCUGGAAUGAGAGCAGCCAACUGCUUGCUCCAGUCAAUGGUCUCGGAUUUUCUGAUUUAUGACCUGAGACUCAAUAAACUAAAAACAAAAAUAAGUAAAAAGAAAAUCCUAAUGUUAAUGACACUUACCAGUGGGUUGCCUCCCACCAAGCGCUUGGUUUAAGUUUCUAGCUUGACUUGGUGACUGGGAUCAGUCGGGUUGAGCAGGAGGGCUUGUUCCAAAACAAGCUCCACAAUCAGACAUGUUCAGCUCCAGAACUCUGCUCAACAACCCUUUCACAGCAGCUUUCCCUUUCUCCUUCAGCUCAUGUGUGAGAAUAGCUCUGACUUUAGAGAAAGGUUUAGAGGUACCCUUGCACUUUACCUCAUACUCAAUGGAGUUCUCAUCACACUUGAGAGGUAUCAAAGUCAUUGUAGGAUCUCCCUUGAUCCUUUUCUUCUGGACUUUCUGUUUCACCCUUGAAUUCCCUCUGAAUUUAGUAGGAUCAGUGCUAGGAUCUUCAUCAGAGAACAGCCUGCUCUCACCCUUAUCACCAUGCUCCUUCUCUGGAACAACCUUCAGCUUUUCUACAUCAAACACUGAGAUGCGAGAGGCGUGUGAUGAGGAAGAUCUGGUGGGUACAGCCUUGUAGAAAAUUUUCUUGUUGAUGUUGGAGAAGCAGACUCUCUUGUUGGGCAUAUCGAUGGUUGCUCCAACAGUAGUCAUGAAUGUCCUUCCAAAUAUCAAAGGCAUCUCAUGAUCCUUGUUCAUCUCAACAACUUGAAACUCAGCAGGAACAAUGCAUUCCCCUACUUGAACAUGAAGGCUGCAGAUGGUUCCAUAUGGGACUGCUCUGGAAGAGUUUGCAAAGGUCAGGGUCAGCUGAGAACGCUCAACAUCAGCAAUACCUAAAUCGUCUACAAUAGCCUUUGAGAUGAGAUUCACACAAGAACCGGAGUCACAAAGAGCGUCCUUGAAGGUUGUUCCUGCGAUGGAACAUGGGAAAACAAACUUUCCAGGAUCAUUAACCUUAGGCAAUACCUUCAGUGCUGGUGUAGACAGUACUUUGGUAUAGAGGACCUUGAUCUCCUCUUGAGUCUCUCUACAGUGUUUAAAGAACUGGAGCAAUGGACGAAUCUGCAGAGCAUCUUCGAAUGCAAGUUCUUUAGGAAGCCUUCUCACCAUCUUGUUAAAACCUAUCAGCUGCUCUUCACUAAUGGGAUCCAUCAGAUGUCUAGGUGGAAUUGGAUAGGGAACCUUGGGAACAUAGACUCGAGAUGGUGGAGUCUCAGCAGGUUCGCUAGGAGCAGUCACUCCAGAGCUAGCAGACUGCUCUGCUCUCUCUUUUGCACCUGAAGCAGUCUCAGCAAACGGCUGCUCUAUUGCAUUACAGUGCUCAGUCCUAGAAUUUUUAUCAGUUCUUCCAGGAAGCGUCUCUUGUUGCCUCUUGACACUCUCAACUGUUUGAGCAAGCUGAACAUCGAUCUUUCUUAUAUGGAUCGCAAGAUUGUCAUACUUGUUAUUCAGCUCAGUGAACAUGUUGCCCAUCCUGGUGUCUAUUUCCGUGGUUACCUGAUUCAACGCCUUGGCCUGAACCUGCUGACCCUGCAACAGCUGUUGCAUCAUCAUACCCAGACCCUUCAGCUCAUCUGGUUGACUGUUCCCGGAAGCUGGAACAGCAUGCGGAUUGCUCUGCGGUUGUCGCUGGUUCUGGUUCUGAAUAUGCCCGGCCGUAGGUUGUUCCAUGCUGAAAACGUGCCCUUGGUUGUUUUUCAGUAGCUGAUAAACCUUGGCAGUCAGCUCAUCUAUUUUUGGGCGUCAGAACUUUUUCCUUUCUUGGAGCAAUCACUCUCCUCUUUCUUAUUAGCUGAGCUAGCAGCCAUGUUCUCAAUCAGCUUAAACGCUCCAUCAGUGGUUUGAGUCAUGAAGUCUCCAUUGCUCGCAGAGUUUAGAGCACCUUGGUAUUUCCAGUCCACUCCAUCAUAGAAAAUGUCCAGGAGGUAAUCAUCAUCAAAUCCAUGGUGAGGACAUUCUCUGCGAUAGUCAUUAAAGCGCUCCCAUGUGUCGCAGAAAGGCUCAUCAGUGAGCUGUCUGAAGGAGGUGAUCUUGUUCCUCAAUGCAGCUGUUCUCGCCUUAGAGUAGAAAUGGCUGAGGAACGCUGAUCGGACCUGUUCCCAUGAAGUGAGAGAGCCGAUAGGGAGAGAGUUCAACCACCUUGCAGCUUUUCCAUCAAGAGAGAAUGGGAAUAACAUGCACGUGAUGUAGUCUGGUGGAACACCAUUCACGCGAGUGAAACUGCAGACUUUUUCGAAGCUCUCAAUAUGCUCCAUUGGAAUUUCUGUAGAGAGACCAGAGAACACCUUUCUCUGUACUAGACCGAUCAAAGCAGGCUUGAUCUCGAAGUCCUGCCUGGUGCAGAGUGGAGGAACAAUGGCAGAGCGCGUAGUAGGGAUGUUACGCGGAAGGUUUCUCUGCCCGAUUGGAACAGUCUGCGCUUGUUGUUCCUGCUGCGCGAGAGCAGCCUGUUCAGCAGCAUCCUGCUGAGCUUGGAUGGUCUGCUGCAUUUGUUGCAUCUGCUGCUGCAUGAGUGCCAUAGCCGCAGCGAGAUCAUCCUGAUUGGCGUGAUCAUCCAUAGUGGUGUCAGUUUGCCUUGGCUGUUGACGAUUUGUUCUUUCUAACCUUGCUAGCUCCUGGUUGGUAAAUGUAACUAACUUUCCUUGUGCGUUUCUCCGAGUAUGUCUACUGGUCAUGCACCUGGAACAUUAGCUGCAACAAAAAGGAUAAGGCAAGUUAGAGGUCUUAGACUAAAUAAAUAACCAAAAAAUAAAGGUAAAAAGAUGGUCCCCGGCAACGGCGCCAAUUUGAUAUUACGUGUAUACGCACACCAAAUAACCUAAUGUGCACACUACCACAAUCGAAUGGUAUGUCGAUGUAGCACUUUAGGAAUGAAUCCACAGAGACCAACUGCUACACUUUAUUUCUAUAGGAUCAAUAUUAAGCUAAAACAAUAUGGGGGUUUUAAGAUUGAGGUAUUAUAACAGAAAAUAAAAGACUAGUUAAAAGGUUUUCAGAUGAUUAAAAGAGCUAGGUUCAGGGUGAUUCAUUGGGAUACUUAGGAUCAUGAGCUACACAACUAUUCAAGAAAACAAUAUGAGCCAAUCUAGAACUUGAACAACAAGAAUAGAUAAACCCACUGUCGUGGUGUCUACCAAUUUAUCAAGCAAUCCUAAUGCCUAAACUGUCGUUUGGAUCAGAGAAUGAUGACAAGCAUUAAGUUCAGAUUCAAUUUGUUCACGAUUCGCCUUAACAUCAGCUUUCGUUGGCUAAGGACAAAUCGCCUAUCUAUGCUAUUUCCAGUAACCUAAAACACUUUUGAUGAAUAGAUUAAACUUGUGAUCAGAUGCUAAAUGGCCAGUUUAACAUAAGCAAUAAGCAUAACAAUAGACAGAGAUAUCAAAGAAUAACAAUCCUGUUUGUGUCUAGCUCAAUGAUCCAUGAUCCUUAACACCCUAAACCUAACAAGCGACUACUCAGACAUGGACAAAGAAAUCACAGAGACAAAGACUGAAUAAAACAUCAUGCAAUUCAAUAGAAUAAGAAUAGGGUUCAGGAUAAUCUUCUCUAUGACGAGAGAGAUGGAGCCUUCUCCCUUUACAAUAAGCAAAUCCUCAAAUUCUAAAGUCUCCAAUGGUUUUCUUCUGUGUAGAAUAGCGUAGAAUGAUAAAGAGAAACAGAAAAUAUGAUAUAUCAAAGCCACAGGCGGCUGGGAGAGAAAAUAUGGAUAAUUAGGGCAAAUCCCGUAAUGAUUGUAGUUUUCUUAAAAAUCUCUGCCGCUGGAACACUCACUCGGAACAGUCACUCGGAACAGUCACUCGGGUUGCUCCGCUAUCCGGAACAGUCAUCAAGACUGUUCUGCGUGAAAAUCACCAAAUUGCACUGUUUUCUGCCUCUUUUGUUCCAGCUGGUUCAUCUCCCAUCCAAUGCAACUCCAGACCUGUAAUGACUCGAAAAGGACUAGGAAGACUCGAUAAAGACUUGAAAACCAAUUUAAAAGCAUAUAUACAAGAUGUAUAAAACACCAUAUAUCAGGUACAUAGCAUAUGCAUGUGGUAUUUUAGGUUUGGGAAAGCUCAUGUUGAAGUUUGGAGAGUCUAAUGGGCACGCAUGAAAAAAGGUGAAAAGAAGCUUCGACCGCAGACGAGUUCUGUGGACCAACCCUAUCUGCGGAUCAUGGGCAGUGAAAACAAUUUAAGCUGCACAAACCGUGGAUAAUGGCUGCGGGUAAUUGCAGUUCGCAGAAUGGUGGCCGAGAGGUUGAUUUGGUGUGGAUGAACGGCGGGUCACGGACGCGGGUUGAGGCCAUCCGUGGGAUUGAACGAAGGUGAAGCGCAGACAUCAACUACGGACGAGCAUGGUCCGGGAUACGAGGCAGAAAGGUCGAGUUUUUAUGUGGACAGACCGCAGACCACGGCCGAUGCCAAGACCAUCUAACCCAUUUCUCUAUCGGGUCAAACCCGGGUUUGUCGGGUCGACCCGUUUCGAGUUUCAAGCUACUAUAAAUACAUUUUACACCUAAUUUUAGACUUAUCUUGUUUUCUCUCUAAACACAUUGAUAUAUUGGAGAAAACUUGAAUCUUUAGUAAUAUAAUCUUUCUUUCUUGAGUAAUCUGAAUUUAUUUCAUCUUCUCAACAUGUUUUGUCUUGAAUCUAUCAUGAGUUUAAAGUUAAUCAUCAAGAUCAGUGAUUAGAUUUAUUAAGUAAAGAUUUUGGGUGUUUAAUGUUAGAUUUAUAUGUUUCAUUGCUUAUUGAAUGUGUUCAAUGCUAGAUUAGUCUUGAACUCUCUAAUCUUGAUCUCUAGACAUUUCAUACCCGGAAGGUGUUUGAUGAAAUGUCUGAACCAACUCAACUUUUCUCUAGCUUGAAUAACCAAAGAGGUUUGAUGUUAGGAUUGUUAGAUGGUUAAUAAACUUGAUUUAACUUCAUUUUUGAGUGUAUUAAGCCAAUGGGAAUUGAUGUUUAAUGCAUAAUGACAUAGGGAUUUGUAUCUUGGGAAAUAACUUAUCUAAUAUUGUGAUCUAGACUUAAGGAAACCUAUUGAUUGAUAACUUGUCAUCCUAUAUUGGAUCUUAAUCACUUGAAGUCAAAUUCGCAUGAGUCCAAUUUAUCUAUUGAUUGAAAGUUUAGUUAAUUGCUUUGCUUAGUUCUUGUUACCUGUUUCUAUUCACAUCAACUACACUAAUUGCACUUAGAUUAAGCAUUCUCUUGUAUUAUCUUUGCUUCAUGAUCACUUAGGAUUGGAUUGACAUCUAUCUAUACUACUUUGACAUAGGAUUGUUAAAAGUCCUUAUCAUUUAGUCCUUCGCCAAUAAAGCUUGACAUGUUUGGGGCGUGUUGCCUUGGUCUCGGGUGUAGUUGGUUUGUCCAUGAAGUCCGCUAACUGCGAGGACUUAGCAAGCUUUUUUUGACAACCCGAUCAUUAAGAACAGGUCACCGGGUACGCCUAAGUCUAUCGGGUCCGGCUCUCGCUAUAACUGCAGGUCAAUUAUGUGGCAAGUGAUGGUUCCUUUCCGAUGUAUUCUUUGUGUACUACGAUUGUGCUUGUAGUCAAUUCAUAUGCUUCCUUAGGUUUGAGUUUGUGUUAUUUUUCUUUCUGGUAAUUUUCUACAAGUUAUUUUUGUCAAUUCUGUAAAAAAUUCAAAAGCGGAUAAUAAAUUUUUUUAAAAAAAUUACCAAAAUAAUAAUCAACAGCAGCAUCCUGCCAUCGAGACAUCAUCGACGUUUAUAUCUGGUCAUAGGGUCGAUGACGUUAAUAUCCUUCGUAGGGCAAUGACAUUAAUAUCCUUCAUAGGGUCAACAACGUUUACACAUGCCAGUUCUUUAAAUAGUAAACAAAUAAAACUCGCGAUUGCAAUGUCUAAAUAGUACUUCACGAUUACGAACAUAAAAAAAAAACUCACAAGAAUGAGAAGUAAAUAAAAACUGUUUUUAUUAAGGAUGAUGUGAAUAUCAUCAUCACCAAAAAAUAAUUUUGAAUGAACCAUCAAUAAAUCCUUGCUUAUAAACUCCACUUUAUCACAAAAAAAAAAAAUCAAUGUGGUCGUCAAUAAUCUUAAGCCAUUCUCUUCAUCUUGAGAAAAGGCUGAUGCUUCUUCAUGAUUACGAAGGAUAUCAUGCAAUUCCACAGCCACAAGAUAUGCGACUAAUAUGUAUCUUCUCCUUUAAAAUGGAUUAGGAUCCUUAAUACUGAUACCAUAUAAAUUAAUAUUAGUAAAGUUAACGAAGUAUAUAAAGUUCCUUUAGUCUUUGGUUUGUUUAAGUGUUGACUACUGCUUCAAACCGGACGGUCUAUAUGCGAGGUUCCAAGACGAUGAUUUACAAAACAAUUAUACAAAUUAACGGAUAAAAAAUUUAGAAGAGAUAUUUAGCAUGAUGAAAGUAAAACCGGUUAGGCAUUAAUUUUCAUAAGACGAUUUGGAUGCUGCAAUUAGACAUAAAUCCUCGUAAAGCAGAUACAAUGAUUUAUUGUAGAGUCGUCUAUGUAAUAACUUUUUUCUCAUAAUUGUAAUGCACUAUAAUAAAUCAGCAUUAAAAAACAUGUUUUCUAUUAUCUUGCAGUUAUAUCCCUUAUAUACUAAAACAUAAGUCACUUGACCAACAAAAAUUUGCCAUGUGUAAUUUCUUACAAACGCUAAAAAAAAAUGUUUUUAAAAAAUUAAAAUUUAACAUAUUACAAAAAAAUUUAUCAAAACUCUCUCACGCCCGUUUAGUUUUAUGUUUUAUGUAACAGCAAAAAAAACUUUCCUAUUUUUUUCUCUAACUGUUAUCGGGACACGUUCAAAAAUUCAGCAACUCGUCUAUAUAACAUUCAAUCAAAAUUUUAUCCGUAUUUUUUCUCUCUUCUUCUUCUCUAUUGAUUCAUCUUAUUUUCUUUUUUUAUAACAAUUUUCUAUCAUUCUUUCUUCAAAAGUAUAAGUUGAAGAUUCUAUCAAAUUAUACUUCUAUUUUAUAAUUUGAUUUUUCACAAGGGAAUGGAAAGUCACAGUUUUGUUUCACAAAGUACAACUGUCACAGACAUGAAGUUAUUCUCAAUGUGAAAAUCUAUAUUCUUAUGGACAAAAAGGUAAACACAUUUUAUUAUGAUAUGUAAAACUGUUUAAAUAAAUGAAACUCAGUUUUGUAUAGAUUUUUAUAUAGCAGAAAUAUAAUUCAAGCUUCUCUGAAACAAAACAAGAUAAAAAUUAAAAGGGAGUUAGAAAAUUGAGAGUUAUGUUAAUUUCUAUUAUGUCAUAUAUGUGAAGCUCGGUAUGGAGAAAUAUUCCAAUUUAAAUACUAAGUAUUUAUGUUUAUACUAUUUUAAAGUUUGUUAACUCUACUAAUAUACCUAUGAAACUUUUUGCAGAUAGAUAAUUUGGAUAUGAAAACGUGUCUGCAGAUAUAUUCAUUUAAGAGAUUUUAAUUACAGAUAACAUACAUUUGAUAUUAAAUAUGUUCUAUGAAAUCUAUACUUUUAUACAAUGUGCAAGUUUAAGUGACUUUGAUUUGAAAACAAAAUAUGUGAUUAAACUAGAAAUUUAUUUUGAUAUGUUGAUAAUCAUUAUAGUUUUAUGAUCAAAAUUUUUGGAAUACAGUAAAAAUAAUUGACAUGUGCUUCGCAGGGGAGGUAAUACUGGUAAUCUUAAUAUUUAGGGAGUAAUAUUACAGUUAGGUAUAAUUAUUUAUGAGAAUACUACCGGGGGAAAUGGUCAGGAUAGGUGACAACGGUGCAGUGGAAAUAAAUGUUCCCCGCACUUGUGUGAAUUUAUGAUGAAAAUACUUUGGCUAUAGCAUAAUAUUGUAUAAGGAGAACACUUAAAUCAAACCAAAAUUUUUUGGUGAAGAACUCAUUCGAUGCGAGGAGCAAAACCCACGGGCUGUACUCCGGAGUUAUUAAUGAAUAUGACUACAACGACAUCCUCCAUGUUCCACAAGAACAGAUCUAUAACGCGCAACUUCUCAACACACAAAAAAAAAACUGAACAAGAGGGAAAUACAAGGAUUCCGGUAAACAAGGACUAAUUCCUGUUGGAAUUGUUAAACUCCUGUCCAACUCUAUAUUAUCCGAUUAGUACGAUAUUGUCCACUUUGGACUUUAAAGGCUGGCCCGCAUGGAUUUACUUUUGGUUUCCUUCCCAAAAGGCCUCGUACUAUUAGAGUUGGACAUCUCUUUAUAUAUUAGACUUUCCUUUGUCUAAUAUCCGAUGUGGGACUUAACUUGUUAUCUCGCAUUUUCCCCCUCAAGCUAAGGAUCACAUCCAUCUCAUGUGUUUCCUUCGGCGAAUCAUCUUUGGCACCACCUUGUACCGGUAAUCGCAUGGCUUCCUUUGAGAAUGUUUCUCCCACUACAUCUCGGUCCUUUGAGAUUGUCAUCACAUGUUCCAUGAUCAUCUUGACUAUUUCUGCUGAACCUCCCUUAUUCUUACUUGAAGUGUAUUUUGGUCUUCUUGCAGAUCUUCGUCAAUCUGGUGCUCUGAUACCAAUUGUUGGGAUUGUAAAAUUCCAUUCCAACUCUAUAUUAUCCGAUUAGUACGAUAUUGUCCACUUUGGACUUUAAAGGCUGACCCGCAUGGAUUUACUUUUGGUUUCAUUUCCAAAAGACCUCGUACUAUUAGAGUUUGACAUCUCUUUAUAUAUUAGACUUUCCUUUGCCUAAUAUCCGAUGUGGGACUUAACUUGUUAUCUCACAAUUCCACCACAAAAAAUUCUAAGAUAUAAGUCAAAACUACAUCUCCCUAGUUUUAUAUCAAGCAGAAAAGAUCUAUCUCACCAUUGAACUUCCAAACACUUAAAAUAACACAUGCUGAAGGACUGUCAAGACCAGCCACGCUAAAAUCUAGAUUCUCGAGAAGCCAACUGUUGAAACACAAAUCUCACUCUUGAAUCUUAAACCAACAGUCACAAAACUUCCUACAAUAUAAUAGCCAGAUUAUGAAACGUUUAAGCCCCACAACUUUGUCUUCACAGACCCAAACAAAUCUGCUUUCUUCUCCUUAAUUUCCUUUCUCCAUUCUUGAAUAUCUCCUUUAGACAUCUCUCUUGGUCUAACUUUUCUUUUCUGUGCAUUCUCUCCACAAAACUAGGCCAAAAGAUUUAUACAGUGUCUUACUAACUCUCAAGGCUACCAUUGGUCCAAACCCAAAACUUGUGAUAUUAUAUUGUCACUUAAAAAAACAUAACAGUCAAUGUCUGUUUCUUGCCUAUGUCAAUCUACUCGCUAUAUAAACUUUUGAAUUUUACUACAAUCACAUCUUCUGGUUUCCCCACUAGAAAAAUAACAAGCUAAAACUCAUUCGAAGAAUUUAUCAAAAGUUUUUCUUAUUAGCUAAGAGCUAAUUAGGAAUUUUUCGUUCUAUUAAAUAAAAUCUACCUCAUUGCUAUUUACAAUUUUUUUCCAAAAUGAUAGUAAUAAUGAAUUAACCAAUCACUACUGCGACAAACAAUCCAACGUUUUUCUCACUGAAAUGAUUUGAAGAGCAAGCCACCGUAAAAAGCCACGGGUUCCAUUCAGCGAAACCUCUCCCAAAAUAUCAAUCAAGACUAUAAGACAAGAAAAUGUACACGUCACUUUUCUUUGCGAAGGCUAUAUAAACCCAUUGAUUGGUACAAUGUUCCAUACAACACAAACACAUACAUCUACAAAUUAAUCAUGAAGCAUAUUGGGCUCACAUUAGUUUUUCUUCUAGCUGUGGCGACUUGCAAAGCUGAUGAAGAAAUUACUUGCAAAGAAACACUGUCAACAUGUGGUCAUACUGAUCAAUUCAACAGUGGCAGUUUCGAAAAAGACUUCAUCUUCGGCGUUGCAUCUUCUGCUUACCAGGCAUGUAACAAUUCAACCAUUAAUUAUUAUUGUGUUGCCAGACUUCACAUUUGACGUAUAUAGUAAAUCAUUAAAAACACUAAUACGUUGCAUGGUUGUUUCUAUUUAUUUGUUUAUUUCAGAUAGAAGGUGGCGUAGGUCGUGGACUUAACGUUUGGGAUGGCUUCACUCACCGAUAUCCAAGUUUGUCGUUUGCAUGGUUACAUAUGUAUAAUGUCUCUUAUAUGUUUCUAUACACUUAUAGUUAUGUAUUCAUUUACUAUCAGACAAGUCAGGGUCCGAUCAUGGAAAUGGAGACACUACUUGUGACUCAUAUUCGUAUUGGGAGGUAAAUUAUUCAAUAUAUACAUAUGAGUCAUAUGAUAUGACUUAUAUAUAUAUAUAUAUAUACUAUAUAUAAAAUAUUUAAAAAUAUUAUAUAUAAAUAAAAUUUUCUAUUUUUAUAUCAAUACCAUUAAAACAAGAUCAUUCCUAACUUAUACCUAUUAAUGAAAAUUGUAUUUUUUCUCAAAAAUACCCUUAUUUUUACAAGAGAUUAAUAAAAUUCAUUAAUGGUAUUUAAGUCUUUUGGUUUUGGGUAUACAUAUACACCUAAAUGGAUCUAUAAAUAAUGUGCCUAUAUAUAUAUUUAAAAGAUAUACUAACUUUAAAUUUAAUAUAAGUAUAAAUAUAUUAUGAACUAUAAAUAAACUAACGAACAUAAAAAUAUUAUUUUCUUAAAUAUACGUAUCAAUAUUCAAAAUGAGAUCAUUUGAAUAUUAUAAAUAUUUUCAAUACAAACCAAAAUCAUAUAUCUUACACCAUGUAUCAUAUACAUAUUUGAAUAUCGUUUUUCCAUGUAUAAUGUUAUAUUAAGAGUGUUCAACAAUAUUUUAAAAACUAUCUUAAAAUCAAAAUUUAAAUCUAAAAUAAAAACACAAACAUAUAUAGGUUAUUAAUAACAGAAAUAAACUAAUAUUGUCAUAUUAAUAAGAUUUUUUAUAUUAUCAUUUUUUAUUUGGAUAACAUAAUAAAAUUUCAUCAAAUUCUAAGGAAUCACUAAUUUAUGUAAUAUUAAAAAAUAUAUGAGUAAUUUAAUCAUUUGAAAAAAAAAUACUAUCAGAUAUUUUGUGUUUUAUCGGAUCAAUGGUAUCGGAUCGCAGGUUAAUAGUGAGUUUUUGGGUUUUUUACCUGGUGAUAUCAGAUUUUUAAUUAACUAAUUUUUCAUUAAAUCUGAACCGGAUUACAUACAAUGUAUCGGGUCUAUAGGUUCAACCACGAAUCUAAGCCGGAUAUGAAAACAAAUCUUAAAACUCAAACAUUAUUAUAGAACAACUACCAUAUUUCGAACAAAUACCAUAUUUUAAAGAAAAAAACCUAAAAACUCAAUUGUUAUAGUUCGAAACAAAAAAUAAUAAUAGUUUAUAAAUCAGUUUUCGAUUAAUAAAUGAAAAACAAACAAAACCCGCGUUUUCUAAGCGCGGGUCAAAAUCUAGUUUUACUUUUAUUAGUUUAAAAAAUAAAACCAUAAUGUAAUUGUUUUUAGUUUGAUUUAUUCAAGUUUACUUUGAUCUUUUAAUUUUUCAAUAUUUAACUUUUGAUAAAAAUAAUUGAAAAGUUACUUUAUUAUAUUAUUCUUUAUUUAAUUACCAUUUUUAAAUAUUUCUAUAUGUACACUUAUUUUAAUAAUAAAAAUAUGAUUCAUAUAUUGAUGUAAAAUUUUAAUAUUCGUAAUUAUUAUUUAGGACUUAUAUAUAAAAACAUAUUAUUUUAAUAGAUAUAGAAAAAUUAUUAGGUAUCAUAAAAUGAAUAUUUACUAAGAAAAAAUAUUUUUGAUAUAAAAUUUAUUAGUUAUUACUAUAUUAUGAAACUUAUUAGGUAUCGUAAAAACAUAUAGAAAUUAUGAAUACUUACCAAAAUGAAUAUUUACUGAGAAAAAAUAUUUUUGAUAUAAAAUUUAUUAGUUAUUACUAUAUUAUGAAACUUUUCCAAAAAUAUAAAUCCGUAUAUAGAAAAUCAUCAUUAUUAUAUUUAAGAAAUCUUACCAAAAACAUAAAUCUAAAUAUAGUAAAUUUUACAUGUCACAAUUAGAUUUAUGCCAUGUCAUAUUUCUUUUACGCCAUGUCAUAUUUUUUGUGAAAGUUAAUGUAGUGAUGACACAUAUACAAAAUCACUUCUCAAAUUUAGUCUAGGGUAUAUAUAUAUAUGCUAACUAAUAUUACUCACUGAAUAAUCUACCAGCUACGUGUGGAAUGACAUGCGAUUGUAUAUAUAAACUGCAGAAAGAUAUAGAGGCGCUGGUCGAACUCAAUGCUACUGGCUACAGAUUUUCCAUUGCGUGGUCAAGAAUCAUUCCAAGUAUGUAAACAUUAUAGAUCCAUGUAUAUAAUAUACAUGUAUGUAUAUAUAUAUAUCGUAAUCUUCGAUUGUGAUUAUUUAGAAAAAGUAAAUAUAGUGUACAUUUAUAUGAACAGGAGGAAAGAGGAGCAGGGGUGUAAACCAAGAAGGUGUUAACUACUACCGCGGACUCAUAAAUCGCCUCGUUGAGAAGGGCAUAACUCCUUUUGUUACGCUCUUUCACUGGGACCUUCCUCAAGCACUACAAGAUGAGUAUGAAGGUUUCUUGGACCCCCAGAUAAUGUAUGCGGAGCUGUUUAUUAAAGAUGACAACAUAUAAAGAUUUGUUCUAGGACUAAUGAAAUGACAAUUAUGUAAUAUUCGCAGAAAUGAUUUCAAAGAUUACGCAGAUCUAUGUUUCCAAGAAUUUGGUGCUAAUGUAACGAACUGGAUCACGAUUAACCAGCUCUACACAGUGCCUACUAGAGGCUAUGGAUUUGGAUCAGAUGCACCCGGUCGAUGUUCUCGAGCUCUUGACCCUACAUGUUACGCCGGAAAUUCUUCAACUGAACCCUAUAUUGUUGCACAUCACCAGCUUCUGGCUCAUGCCACGGUGGUCGAUCUUUAUAGGAAAAAUUAUAAGGUGAUUUCUCCAUUAAUUUGUAUAAUGUGUAAUCUAUGAUUUAAUCAUAUUAUUGUGUAUAUAAUAUCUGCAUGACCACAGCAUCAAGGAGGUAAGAUUGGACCUGUGAUGAUAACUAGAUGGUUUCUUCCGUAUGAUAACAAUGAUCCAGAAAGCAAAGCUGCAACCGAGAGGAUGAAAGAAUUCUUCUUGGGAUGGUAUAUGUUUACAAAAUGAAAUAAUUUUAUUAGUAUUAUCUUAUGUAUAUACAAAUUGAUGAAAAAACAUAUGUAUCCACAUCAGGUUCAUGGGGCCGCUAACAAACGGAGCAUACCCUCAAAUCAUGAUAGACACUGUGGGUAAACGGCUUCCAUCGUUCACUCCAGAAGAAUCCAAACUCGUAAAGGGUUCAUAUGAUUUUCUUGGUCUCAACUAUUAUGUCACUCAGUAUGUCCAGCCAAGUCCUAAUCAUGUUGAUUGGGCUAAUCACACUGCCAUGAUGGACGCAGGCGUAACACUCACAUGUACCACUCCAUAUAAUUUCAUUUAUUUACAACCUUCCUUUUAAGUACUUUGUGACCAUUAAUUAUAUCAUCUUUGUGUUUACAGAUCGUGAUAUAAAUGGUCAUGACAUUGGUCCACUGGUAUUUAUGCAUAUGAUCCAUACACCCAUAUUCUUUCAUUUAUUUUGAAGCAAUGUUCAGUUUUCUGAUUGCUUUUGUUUGCUUUCAUUUCUAAGUUCACUGAAGACAAAGUUGAUGCGGCCAAAAACACCUAUUACUACCCAGAAGGCAUUUCUUACGUAAUGGACUAUUUCAAAACCAAGUAUUAUAACCCGUUAAUCUAUGUAACCGAGAAUGGUAAGUUCUAUUGUUUAUCUCUAAAUUCAUCUAUACAUGUGAUUUAAAUUUGGUUCAAGAAAUUGACACAAAAAUAUUGUGGAAUUUUUCAUGAUAUGACGAUUUAAUUAGGAUUCAGUACCCCGGGUGAUGAACCCCGUGAGGCCGCUAAGUUAGAUUGCAAGCGGAUUGAUUAUCUCUGCAGUCAUCUCUAUUUUCUCAGUAAAGUAAUCAAGUGAGUUGAUGCUACUCUCAUUCCAGUGUUAUAUAUCAAGUAAUCAAGCGGAUUGUACUCUCAUUCACUGGUCCUGCUUUUAGGGAGAACCAUGUCAACGUAAAAGGAUACUUUGCGUGGUCUCUUGGGGAUAAUUAUGAAUUCUGCAAAGGAUUUACCGUCAGAUUCGGACUCAGUUACAUUGAUUGGAAUAAUAUCACUGAUAGAGACCUCAAACAGUCUGGCAAAUGGUAUAAGAAGUUCAUUAUCACCAAGGACCUUCCCAAGAAAGAUUUUCUCCGCUCCAGCCUCACCUUCGAGAAGAAGAAGAAGUUCGCAGAUGCAUGAAAUACCCAUUAUCAAGAUCAUCUUCAUGUCUCCUCAUACUACUUGCUCCAUAGAUAAGGAGCUUUUUCUACCUACUGUACUAAAUAAAAGUUCCCAAUAAAAGAAGAUGAUCCAUAUUAAUAAAUACUACUUUGCAUACUAUGUCAAGGAAUGGACAAAAGAACCCAACCAAACUUAAUUUAAGGCUCAAACUAAAACCAAAAUUGAUAAGUAUUUAUACACUAAAUAUUUUGGGGCAGUUUCCAAAAAUAAUCCAAAAUGAAUUUGAAUGCAAAUCUAAAUUUUAAAUUCAAUCAAAUGCAAAAUAUCUGAUAUUCUUAAAAAAGGUUCUAAAAAACAAAAAAAAUAAAUAAAUAAAGGAUAAAACAAGAGGAACCGCUCCCUAAAAUAGGGCUUUUGGAAUUGAUAAGAACCUAUACGUGCCCUCUUGGUAUUGGUCGCCUCUCUUGGUCAUGCUUUUUGUUUUCUUUCUCAAAAAAUUUGUCGUCGUUCCUCGUUGUUGUUGAUCUUCAUGAAAUGGUCGUGCGUGAUGGAUCGACGAAUCUGGGUUUCCAAGAGCGUUCUGCAACUCUCGUUCAGCCAUGUCUGAUUUCUGCUGAUUUGGAUCUUUGAUCCUUGAGUUUUUAACAAAUUACGGUUUGACCCCAAAAACUUCUGUUUGUUAUAGAAAAGUCCUCAAAACUGUCCUAAAACUUCAAAUUGUGUUUUCCAGCCCUCUCUUUAUGAAAUAUGUACAAAUGCAACAUCUAAUGACACCUAAAUGCAACUUCUAAACAUUAAAAUUGAUCAAAAUUAAUAGCUAAAAACAUAUGAAAACACUAUACAUUAGUUGCUCUCUUUCUCCAAAACCGUCUAUGAAAUCAAGGUGAAAAUUCGAAUUCUUUGAGUCCGUGAUAAGACAAUACAUUAUGUUUUUUGUUACAAAAUGGUUAGUUGAGACUCUAAUGACAUUCUUGAUCUUUUGUUACACAAUUGUGACUCUUGUUUGUUACUGAACUUGCAGAUUUGUUGUAUGUCUUCUCCAACUUGUCUCGGAAUGUUAACUUCAUUGAACAUAUGAAGCUCACCGGAAUGUUAAAUUCGUUAUAUAAAUUUGUAUUUCUAUUUUUCAUAUGUUUUAUGCCAUAUUUGUUUAAAUGUUAUAAAAUCCAAUAAUUUAUAAGUUUUGUAAUAUUUAAAUUUAAUUUCAAAAAAAAAAAAGUUAAAAACCUCGUAGGGAUUCUUCCAUUGGACCUUCACACAACUAAUUACAUUAAUAUGAGUUUUAAACUUCAUAAAGUACAUAAUUAGCUAUUAAAUUAAUUUUAAGAAUCCAUUAAGGACUCUAACCAAUGGAGGUGGUCUUAAAGGACGAUAAAAUUACAACUGUUCUUUUAUGAUUAAACAAAACAAAAUUUUUUAUGAUUAAAAGAAAUAAAACUGUAGAAAAUUUUACGGUUAUAACCCUGAAAAAACUUCUCAAAAAGUCUAGGAAUAUACUUCUUGAGAAGUCUAUGAAAACACUUUUCGAGAAGUCUAUUCAUAUAUUUAAACUUGAAUUUAUAAAUAUUUUGCUGCUGUUUCAUUUUGUCCUGACUUAAGGUCAUAUGAACUUUCUUUUGCAGUAAACUAUGUAAUCCUUGUGUAGUGAACCAUGUUUAUAUUGGAAUUUUUCUAUUUGUGUAUUCUAAUAAUUUAGUUAAAACAAAUGUUCCAAUUUCUGGUUUGACCAACAACUAACGACAUAUCCACGAACAACACACCUUACGAAACAAUAGUCUGACCAAAUGAUACCAAAUAAAGAGAUGAAGAAGAGAUACAAAAAAGCUGUGACGUUUUCAUCAUAAAUGAAUCGCUGCGUGUUAGACAUAACGGCAAGCACACAUCUUUUAAUGGUGCUAUAGACGGAGGGGAUGAUUCAUUAAAAAAGAUUAUUUGUGGGGGGGGGGAGGGAAGGGAAGGGUUUGUACGGUAAAUCUUUAAUUGAGGGGUUUUUAUCCGAAAUAAACUUAAUUGAAGAGUUUUUGCAUUAAAAAUCCUAUAAUUAAUUGGGUUGAUUGUAACUUAUUUUAGCCGUUGAAUUUAAAAUAUCUUACACAAAUAAAUAAGCCAAAAUUUAGGCAAACAAUUAGCAGUCUAGAAGUCAAGUAGUACAUCACAUUGAUGGCCCUCUAUGUUAUGAUUUGUUUUUUUUUUAAUUGUGUGGGGGUUAUUUUUCUUUUAGGCAAGCUUUUGGGUCUCUGUCUAGUGUCUACCAUAUUUAUACAAUACUCAACUCUAUAUCUACGAUCUAUAUAUGUUACUCUUUAAAAAAGUUGAAGAGGGGUUUUUAUCCGAAAUAAACUUAAUUGAAGAGUUUUUGCAUUAAAAAUCCUAUAAUUAAUUGGGUUGAUUGUAACUUAUUUUAGCCGUUGAAUUUAAAAUAUCUUACACAAAUAAAUAAGCCAAAAUUUAGGCAAACAAUUAGCAGUCUAGAAGUCAAGUAGUACAUCACAUUGAUGGCCCUCUAUGUUAUGAUUUGUUUUUUUUUUUAAUUGUGUGGGGGUUAUUUUUCUUUUAGGCAAGCUUUUGGGUCUCUGUCUAGUGUCUACCAUAUUUAUACAAUACUCAACUCUAUAUCUACGAUCUAUAUAUGUUACUCUUUAAAAAAGUUGAAGAGGAAGCUAAUAUCCAUAUAUUUAAUUUAUGCAAUAUACCAACUGUGUGAAUAUAUAUUUAUAUGUAUGCACAUUCCUCUAUUCUACCGUAAUGACUUCAAAACUCUACUUUAUUUUCAAAAUAUAUAAUCUAUACAAUACUAAAAGGACUUGAGGGUCAUCAGCUAGCUAUGCCACAUAGGCAAAAAAUUCAUGGCCAAUUAAAUUGACAUCUCAGCUUUAAAAUCCAUGUCAUCCAACGAAAAGAAAAAAACCUACAAUUCAAUCGGCGAUUAUGAAUCGUUUCUUCACCCUCUUUCAUCAGUUCAGCCAUUAUAACUCCUUCAAAACAUACAAACCGACGAUAUGAAUCCACUCUCUUAUUCUAUAUAAGCCAAUGACGAUCCAAGUCCAUAAGUCCAAACUCACAGGUUUUGUUUCUUUAGCGUAUAUGUUUUCUGUAUUUAUACACAGGCUCAGUAUGUUAAUUAAUCAUCUCAUCGAAAGAGGAGCUCAGUGUAAGUAACAUUUAACAUCGCAUGCUUUGGAUACUACAAUGUAACAAGGCGUUCGUUGAUGUGGUUAAUCAGCUCGGUAGAUGUGAACGUGUGUAAGCUUUCUUCUCUUUGUUCUUGAAAAGUUAACAUCUCUUGGCUUCCUUAAAAAAUAAAAAAUUUGCUGGUUUGUUAACGAAAUUUAACAAUCAUUUAGAUCGUCUAGCUGAUGGAACUCAAGAUAGCGAUGGUAAAGGAUAAUAAAACUCAAAGACUGUUUAUCCUCGGAUGGAUAUGUUCCCAUAUGUGUCUUAGGGCGAAAGAUGGAUCUCUAUUCAGUAUACUCCUCUAUACUUAUGUUUUGAUUUUCAAAGUAUUGAAUUUUUUUGUGUUUUCUCCACUCAUCUCCUAAUGUUGUUGUCAUCUCUUCUUACCACAGAGGAGAUCCUGGAUAACUGGUCUAGGUCAGAAGAUAUUCAGUCAUAACGGUCUCUGGAUCGCUUCUUUGUGAUUCAUGGUAUGUGAUGUUUCUCAUAUAGUUAGUUUCACCAUUUGCAUUUUUUUUUUUUUUUGGAACAACCAUUUGCAUUUUAAAACUGAUAUUUUCUGUUGCAACAUCAAAUAUAUUUGAUUCAUUUGGUGAGCAGAUUCCAAUUCUGUCAUACGUGUAUCUGAGAGUGAAGGAGAUAUGAGCAGAACUGGACAUAGAAAGGUCUCUGACAAACAAAAAGGAGAUAUGUCUAACGGGGAGUGUAGACCAUCACUAGAUGGAGAUUAGACCCCGAAUAGUCAAUUUGCAACUCAGAGUGGUGACCAAGACUGUCCUGGUAAGACGGUUUGAAUUAAAAAAAAUGUAUGUAACAGUGAAUCGAUCUUGAGAAUGGAAGAUCGUAAGAGACGUACAAAAUAAUUUCUUUUGAACUUCCAUAAGUCUCAUUUCUUUGUCAUGAAUGCAUAGUCUAGUGAGCUACGUUGGUCAAAGAAAUGCUAUGUGGUCGCAUGUACAAAUUUAGAUGAAAACAAGAUUAUUUGGAAAAAGGAGGAGGCUUUGAUGAUCCUUACAUUGAUUUCAGUUGUGCGAACAUUGCUUCUAAGUUCACUGCGAAAAGCACAAGGCAGUGUAGAAGAAGGUUUGGUUACAAUGAUGUAUUUCUGGGUUUUAUUUUAACGCCUAAAAUGAGUUUUUAUUUUAUUUUGCAGAUGGUGUACAUAUACCUUACGACUAUGAUCCUCUGAAGAAGAUGCACUUCUGUGUGUGGUUAGAUAUUUUUAAUCACAUACGUUUAUAGAGUUGGCACCCGAAGAAGAUGCAUGCUACACCAGUUUCUUAAGUUCGGCUUUCAUUGAGGUUUGAUUACCUUUUUCCUGGAUGCAUCAUGUUUGUUGUUAUAUUGACAUCAUCUUGAUAGAUGUCUUAGCUUAGAAACACUGAUCUGAGAAGUCUAUUACAGAUGGCUCGACCAAUAAAGACUAAAUUUGUGUAAGUAAGAAAAGCUCAGUCCACACCAGAAAUUUGAAGAUGCUAGAGUCUAAGGUAUCUCUAUAAUCUAAUGUCUAAUAUUAUAAUUAAAUUAAUUUCUUCUGAUUUUCUUAUUACAGUUAUCAUCCCUAUAAUUGUUCAUAUUGAGCUGUUGCAAAUAUGAAUAUUUUCAGUUGAUUUUUUUGUUCUGAUGGCUUAAACGAUCAUCUCCAACAAUCCCGUUGUCAUUCAUGUCCUUUCACGUUCUCUUUUCUGUUUUGAAAUUAGUCCUGCAAAUUCAAGGUAAUAUCAGUAGUGGUAUAGCUUUGCAGAAUCUUUGGAAAACAUGUUCUCUUAUACUGUGUUGCAGUUCUUAGUCUACAUUGAUUCAUUAGCUUCUUAUAAAGUUGCUUGGUACUGUUAUGAGAAAAAAAAUUGAUUUUAGAAAUUUCAAAUCUAGCAAAGUAACGGAAAGAAUAUGAUUGGGACCCUGUUUCUUAAUACUCCAAGAGAAUCCCGGUGUUCAGAUCGCAUACCGGUUUGUGAAAUAUUUACAGUAGAAUUUGGUACGAAGAGUCUGAACAAAGGUAAAUUCAGGAAGGGUAUUCUUGCGCAGCUACAUGAUUUGUUGAAGAUUGCCUCUACAAAAGCAUAGUUUUAACUACGAUUAUUACCGUUCUUUUUGAGAACGAAAUAUAUGAUUUGGAAAAGUACUUUUUUUUUCUUCAUUGUAUAGCUAUAUGUUUUUUUUAGCAUUAGCCAUCAUGAUACAUAUAUAAAGAUACUUUAAUGUUAUCAGAUGAGAUCAGUUUACAUAUGGAGUUAAAAUCUUAGUGGCUGCUAUUGAACUCUCCUAUAGUCCUAUUGACACUCAACCUUCCACUGAAUCCAACUAUGACAGCUGCAAAAUCCAACUGAUUUCUCCCAAAGAAGAAAAAGAUGACGAUGAGGUCUCAUAACUUGAUCAAUAACUAUUUAUGCUUAUAAUAAUGAGUAAUGACUGUGUAUUAUUAGUGUGUAACAGGUUACGAGGUGAAGAAAGUUAAAGAAGAGUCAUUUUAUUAUCACAUAAGUCAACUUAAGACAACGAGUAACGACUCUAAAUGAUAUAAAUUCUGAAUAAUGAAGGGGAGAAAGAAAUAUAGAAAAGGAGAAAACUAAAAAUAAAAUUAAAAGUAAAGUUUUGUUUUGUUUUAAAUAGAGAAAAUAUUACCCUACAAUUAUUCUUUUUGGAGUAAAUAAGCCUAGCAUUAUUUUCACUUGAUUGGUUGAAAAUGAAGUAAUUUAGCUGAAAAUAUUUAUUCUAACUUAUAUACUUUAGGGAUGUUAUAAGAAAAAACGGUUGUCAAAAGAAAAGUUAUAAGAAAAAACAUUCAAUAUUUUUUCUAUCUGCAAAUUCUUUUAAUUUUAACUAAAAUUAAUAAAUAAAUUUAUAAUAUGUAAUCCGCGCGUAGCGCGGAAACGGACCUAGUAGAGUUAAUAGCUCUAGUUAAGGUGGUAGAUUAUAGUCUGAGCUACAUUCACUAUAGGUAUAAACAAAGGUGUUUUUUUUUUUGUGAGAGAGUAGUGAGUAUUAGUACUUGGGGAGUUUAGAAACAAAUUCAGACCCCAAAAGCCUAACAUCCAUCGAUAAUUUGUUGAUUUAACAAAGCUGUGAGUUCUCAUGGAAAAUAUAUAAGGACAUGUGUCAGUAAACUCCCUUUUCACUAAGAAAGAGAAAAAUCUCUACUUUAGUACAGAUAAAUUACUUUUCGAUUAGGAAUAUAGGUUACUAAAUAUUUAUUCUAAUGAUUUCUUUUAUAGCAAAGAUAUCUACAGAAUCAAGUCACUGCUCACCCAUGAGAUUGCAAAUCUAAGCUUUUGCGUUUUGCAUGGAUUAUAUUUACCGAGUUGGGUCAGGUGGGUGUGGCCCCUUUGACACGGCAUGGUCUUUCUCCCACCGAAAAAAAUAAUAAUGAGAGCGAAACAAAAGCAAAAGUACUAAGCUGGGUCAGGUCUCAGGUGGGAGUUGCCCUUAAAAUUUUCAAGACUUACAAAUGCGUACUGUACGUGCUAUCCUGUAUGUGUAUGCGUUCACAUCAUAUAUCAAAACUGUAUAUUGUAAUGCAUAUAGUUUUUUUUUUUGCAAAUUAUACUCUAAAUGGAUAUUAUUUUAAGUUUCUCAUCUAAAUCCAUUAUUUUUUUAAUAGAUAACUAAAAUAUCUAAUACAAGGAGAAUAAAUGAUUUGUAUGAUAAAAUAUAGAGAAAACACAAUAUAUAAUAGUAUAUAAAGACUACGAAUAUUCUUCUAGGUUUAAGUUAAUAUUUCAUCCGUUCCUGAAAUUAAGAUUUUUUAGAUUUUAUUCUUCUUCUACAAAAAUAAAUUUUUUAUACUUUUGAGAAAUAUUAAUUGUGAAUAUUUGAAAUUAUUAAAUUUUAUUGGUGAAUAGUUAUUGGAAAGUGUAUUGAAAAAUAAAUUGUAAAUUCAAUUGUAAACAUUUAUUAUAUUCUUAAUAAACAUGAAAACUCUAGAAAAUCUUACUUUCGGAAACAGAGAGGGAGUAGUAAAGAUAGAUAUUAACUUUGGAAACAAUCUAAACUUCAUUUAAAACAUGAUCAGAAAGUAUAAAAUAUAUUAUAUACGUUUCCAAAAUAAUCACACCGAAUUUUUCAUCAUUAAAUUGAUAUCCGCAAAUAUUUGGAUCAAUAACUAUAUUUUGAUUCAUAAUAUCUAUCAAGUAUAUAUUUUUGAAUAUGCUGAACUAGAUUCCCUAAAUAUUGGUGAUGCCUUUUUUAUAAGACAUAACAAUUUUUUUUUUGGACAAAACAUAUUUUUGGUUGUUAAUUAAAUAUGAAGAUAAAUAUUGAUCUUUGUAUAGGUUUAAGUUUAAUAAAAUAUUAAAAACUAGAGGGGAGCUAUAUGAAUAUUUUCACAAAAUAGUAGUUAGGUAAAUUAAAAAAUAAUCCACUAAAAUUAUAAAAAAGUUUAACUCUUCAAAAUUAACUAUAUGAGGAUAAAUUUACAAUUUUUUGAAUAAUUUAUAACAUCUAUGAAUAUUUUUAAGAUACAAAAACAAAAAUGUAUCUAUACUAUUAAACACAUAAUCUUAUAACUAAAAAAUACUUGUCUAUUUAAAAUAAGAAAAAAAUCUCGCACUUUGAAAGCGCGGGUUAAAAUCUAAUAUAUAUAUAGUUACAUUCACAUAUAUAUUAUCUAUUUUACGUGCAUGACAUGAAACAUUUAUAAAAACUUCUGUUUUCAUAUUAUAAAAUCUGAUUAUUGCUGAAUACAUUUUUAGUGGUCACAAUUUAUUUAGUAUUUAUUUUUUUCUCAAUUAAAAAUAAUUACCGUAUCAUAUCUAUCAAAUAACAAAUACAUCAAAAUCUUAGAAAAUCUCUAGAUCUAACAAGUGAAUUACUCAGAUAUUAUAGUAGAAACAUAAAUCAUAAUAUGAAAUAAGAAAAUGUAAGAAAUAUUGGAGGUUUAAUCAAUCUCCAAAAGAGGUCUGAUAUUCUCUCCAAAAACCUCUCUAAAAAAACUUAAACUAAAUAGUGGCUGUAAAAUAGAGAUAUAUAUAUAGGUUUAACACAUUCAUGGGUUUCUUGAAAGUUUCUCCGGUUUUGUCAAACCGCACUAGCGUUGAUCGACGCUCACAUCAUAUCUCGACUCUCAUCUCUGCAAAACUACAAGUUGUCUUCUCUUCAAGCUCCAUUUUACUCCAUAAUCUUCGAUGUACUCCAAAACACACCUAAACUUGUAAAUGAUCUAAAACAGACGCAAAGUACAUAAUAAAGACUCUAAAUAUGGCCUACAAUAUAUCCUAAUAGUGGUAAAUUCUGAGACCUAUCAACUUCCAUGUGAAUGGUGGGUGCAGUCCAUCUGAGUUAAACCACUUUCCAAGCAUCUUCGUCUAAUCCACGGAUUAUAUGUCUCAGACAAGCCUUCCAAUGACCAAAUUGUCUUCAUCCAACAUGUAGGGGCUCAGUAGAAUUACGAGUUCUCUCAUGGUUUCAAAGACUUCCAUAGGACCUCAACAUGUAUGUGGAUAGGAAAUCCAAGUGGCAACCUGCUAUGAUACCAAAUGAAAAGUUUAUACUAAGCAAAACCAGGAAGAACACAAGGGAUUAGAAGCCAUGUGUCUCUUAUUAUUAAGAAUCAGUUAAAUAAUCUUACACAUUUAUUUAAUCUGAAUUACUGAACGUUACACACGGCUUGAAACAAACCAAUUAUUAUUCUACCCUUUUGCGUGACAAUACCAGUUGAUCACGUUUCCAGUUCACUCACCUCUGAAACUCCAAAACCUUUUUAUGUCUCCAUGAGAAUACUAUGCCAAAAAUUUAACUUUUUCCCUAAGUCUAAGCUAUGAUAUAUAUGAUUUCAAUGUUUCUUAUAGUGCAAUAUACCUUUUCCUAAAAAAUAGCAUCACCACAUCUUCCAGUUUGUGAUAUGACUAUCUUCUAGUUCGUUAAUCACGUUCAAGAUGAACUAAUAAGAACUCCCUACAUCACACGCUUAAUAGUUCUUUCUGUCCACGUAGAUGUGGUACACAUCAUCUUCAUCUUCAUGUGUAACACAACAGAAACAUACCAGAUUUCACACUUUUGAAUAUGCACGAGUCAAAUUCCAAGGAACCAUGUCAACCAACACUCUUUCUGUGUCAUUUCACCAAGAUGUCAAGUUCCAAUUAAUUUCUUGAGGUUACAGAUAACCUCAGUAUGGUAAAGACUUUGAUAAGAAGAUUUUGUCUAAAGUUAUCUCAUUUCAAAAUCAGUUGGUUCGUCAAUUGUCUUUUCUUAUCAGUUGAUCUCUUUGACUCGGGACUAAAUGAUGCUGGAAUUCGUAUUCUUCCGUAGAACUUCCUGGUUAAUCUCAUAAAAGACAUCAAUCUAUGGCAGUAUAUUUCUAUUCUACAAAGAAAGAUAAAUCUCAUCUACGAUUACAUUUAUUAUUUAUCCACCUCAAAAUGUUACCGUGACCCUGAGCUCUGAUACUAAUUUUUAUGUUGAGAACCUUUGGCGGAUCUAAGAGGAUUUAUAGCUGGGGGUACUACCUUAGAAAUUGAAUAAGCUGGGGGCGCUAUCAUAUAAUUUGAGUUAGUUAGAAAGCAUUUGCAUAUAAUUGGUUAAAGAAAACAAAAAAUGAACCGGGGGCACGUACGUCCGCCACUGUUGAGAACAUCAAAAUGACCCUUACAAUCACAAAAUCGACCCACUAAACCCCUAGCUAACAAUCUCGCAUCUCUCGUUCAUGUUGGAUCAAUCAUGAGAAAGACAAUUUGUUGAGUUCUCAAGAUUAAACCGAUCAAAUGUACGCCUUGGCAGGGAUCUCUUCCUAGGAAGAUUUGAAUAGUUACGAAAAAAAGAGAAUCAAGAGAGAGAUAUUAUAAAGCUUCAGAAUAAAGAAAGCAAAACUGAAUAAGUUGAUUGACUUCUUCUUAUAACUCUAUUUCUAUUAGCUAGGAAAUAAUGUUGUUGGUGAACUUUAUUUAUCCAGCAUUGAAUUACUAAAAUAAAAAUAAAUAUAUUUUAGGAAAAAUAAAAUAAAAAUAUCAUUUGUCUUGCGGGUUUUUCAUAACUUUUGAAAUUCUUAAAUGAAUAACUUUGGAACAAAACUUAUGUUCAACCUUUAAAUUCACUUCUGUUUUCAGGACCAAUCAAAGUGACACGUAGAUAAUUAAUUAAAAAAUAUUAAAUUUAUUUAAAAAUAACUAAAAAAAAGAAUAACGUCAAUUUUAACGACGAUGAUGCCGCCAGCUAAAGCGUAAAUCCUAAAUCUUAAUUUAUAAACUCUAAACCUUAAAUUCUAAACCCAAACCCUAAACCCAAAUCAUAGACCUUAAAUCCAAAUUGUAUACCUUAAACCCAACUGUAAACCCUAAACCCAAACCACAAACUCUAAACCCAAACCAUAUAUCCUAAACCUAAAUCCUAGACUCCAAACCUUAUAGCGUCUAGGUUUAGGGUUUGGGUUUAGCGUUUACGGUUUGGGUUUUAAGUCUAAGAUGUGGGCUUAGCGUUUACGGUUUAGAUUUUAAGUCUAAGAUUUGGGUUUAAGGUAUACAACUUGGAUUUAGGGUCUAGGAUUUGGUUUAGGGUAUAUGAUUUGGAUUUAAGGUUUACGGUUUGGUUUUAAGGUCUAAGAUUUGAGUUUAGAGUAUACAAUUUGGGUUUAGGGUUUAAGAUUUGAGUUUAGGGUAUAGAGUUUGGGUUUAAGAUUUACGGUUUAAGGUUUAGAGUUGAGAAUUUAAGAUUUUGGGUUUACGGUUUAGCUGUCGGCGUCAGCGUUGUUAAAAUUAGCAUUAUUCUUUUUUAAUUACUUUUAAAUAAAUUUAAUAUUUUUAAUUAAUUAUCUACGUGACACUUUGAUUGGUCCUAGAAGGAGAAGUGAAUUUUAAGGUUCACCGUAGUUUUUGUUCAUAACUUUGAGCUAUAUCAUUAUUCAAGCUCUCUACUUUCUAGUUGCACUGGAGGAUUCUCAAAUCCUCUUAAAACUUGUGUAAACAAAAAGAACGAUUUGUGUUCAACAAAACAAAAAAACAAAAAGAACGACAACAACCAUUGCGCAGCGCAAGAUUCACUUAGUAAGGAGAAGAGAGUAAAGCUAUGAAUCUAAACCAAGUGGCUCCCACUGAGGAACUCUCUUGGUAAAGAACCUCCCAAUAACUCUGGAAUCAAGAAU